Molecule: long non-coding RNA, 53156 nt
Filed under: Lactuca sativa (garden lettuce)
Lineage: Eukaryota; Viridiplantae; Streptophyta; Magnoliopsida; Asterales; Asteraceae
Description: long non-coding RNA (LSAT_LNC004408)
Source: RNAcentral
AUUAGGGUUUACAUUUAAGGAGAUAUCAGGAGAGUGGAUGCUCAUGGGUUUGUGAAACUUGAGCAUUUCAACACUUCAUCAUGUUAGAGUCCAAUUCCAGAAUAAAAUAUUUUCUGCCAAAAUAUUUCAGGACUAUAAAUAGAAUUCUGAACUAAAUUAUUCAUUAUUCACAUUUCCAACUAGAGAAAAGCCAUUUUCUCUCUCACGGAUCUUCGGGUUUUUAUCCCAAAUCUUGAGUCUACUUUCCUAUAUGUUUUUUAAUACUUGUUAUAUGCUUAAUAACAUUGCUUACAUGUCUAAAAUGAGAGAUCCGGGAGUUUACCGCCCAAGAACGUUCUUGGGGAGUAAAACUCCAAAACGAAGCCUAAGAGCUAUCUAGUCCCAUUUCCUUGUUAGGUAGCUAGUUAAGGACAUUAUGUAUGAUCUUUUAAGGCUAGAACACAAUCAAUAACACUUAGCUUUUGGAGUUUACGGCCCAAGAAUUUCUUGGACCGUAAACACCAUUUUUCAAGGGCUUAAAGUGCCCUAAACACUCCUAAGACUUUAAGACAAUAACCCUCUAUUACUUGUAGCUUGAAUGGGGAGUGAAACACAUCAAAAUCAUCCCUAAAACGGAGUUUAUGGCCAAGGAUAUGCUCUUGGGCCGUAAACUCCAAGUAAAGGCACCAAAGUGUGCCUAAAGUCCCCUUUAGCCUUAAACAAAAGUCUAGAAUUUAUCCUUUGUGUGCAAGAGGCUUAAAAGAAUUAAAACACCCACCCCAUAGGAGUUUACGGCCGUAAACUCUAGGGGAUAUGGUCUUUAGGCCGUAAACUCCUCAAAGGAGCAUUCUAAGGCCCUAAACUACCUAAAGGAUUAAACCACCCAUGCUAGGCUUAUUCUAGAAUUCAUGUAGCACCUUAAAACACCCAAAACCACCAAGAUUGGAGUUCCCAGCCGUAAACUCAAGGGUGUACGACCGUAAACUCCAAGGGUGGGGUUUGUUGGGUGGUAAACUCUUAUUCAAAGUCAUUUGGUACAUUAAAUCCUUUUGCCGUGUCCCAUAUCGAGUUAGAUGCAACCCUUAGGACCUAUAACACUUAUACAAAGUGUUUGCAUGUUGCUGAGUGUCCCAUCUUAUUUCAUUAAGUUAUUAUUUGGCUAAUUAGUUAUAUAUAUGCUUAUUAUAUGAUAACUAGGCUCGUGCGUGUAAACAAGUCUCGUUUGCCACCUAGCACGGUAUCCAACACUACCAUCCAAACUGCUCACCACAAGUGAGUUCAUACCCCUUUAAUCAACCUUUGAAAUGAUUUUAAAUGUUUUAAAUACUUUAUGGGGGGAAUACAAGUUAAAUACUUAUAGUUAUUACUUCAAUCACAUGUGAUUGCAUUAAUCACAUGUGAUUAAUAACUAGGAAACCAAUGAUUUUAUCACUGUUCAAACUGUUUAUCAAACUGCUUUACUUCAAAAUGUUUUACAAACUCUUUUACUUAUCAAAUACUUUUAUUUAAACUUUGUUAUACUUCUUAUAAAUUGCAUGCCCAUAUAUGUAUAGAUAUAUAAGCAAUGUUUAAAGGGCUUAGGAAGGCCAUCCGCCCUAUUUCCUUUUUCUCGAUUUGGAUGUGGUCUGGUGGGAUUUCGGGUAACCAUCCGAAGGUCGUUUCAAUAUUAAUUAUAUAUCAAAUAUACAUAUAUAGACAUAAAAGUACUUCCAUAUUCAUACGUACUAGACACAUCAUUAGUAAGUUACCAUCGGGGUAACACAGGAUCAUACUAUUACAACUGCUAGAUCAAUGAGUCAGUUCAUUCAUGAGUCUAUACAUUACAUUACUAUGAGAACAUAUACAACUAUACUAGAAAGAGAACAUAUACAACUAUACUAGGAAGAGAACAUAUACAACUAUACUAGGAAGAGAACAUAUACAACUAUACUAGGAGGAGAACAUAUACAACUAUACUAGAACGAGAAACAUUACAUUACAUAUACAAGAAUACGUUAACAAUUGUGAUCCACUGUAUCGGAGCAUGCCUUAAAUGUCAUGGCCCGAGUUGUAGCCAGAAUUCUCUUGGAGGGAGAGCGUGAGUUUGCGUAUAGAUCUAUACUGGAUUGACUAUCCUACACCUUGCUGCUAGCUACAGCCGGACCUGCAGGUCUGCGGGUGCCAAACGUCAUUCCGUUAUUACGACCAUUCGUAUGUCGUUGUUACCAGUCGAUAGUAUGGUGCAAUUAUCACAUUAUACCUUAAUAUAAAUCCGGUUUAAGGUAGUUAGUACAACAGUAGUUCCUAUAAUACAAAACUACAGUACUACAAUGAUUUACCCAUUACAUAUUUUUAGUGAUAACCUCACUUAAACAUUAAUGUACAAACUAUAUUUUGUUAAAUGAUAGUUACACUUGGGAAAUUACACACUUUUACAACAAACGAGCAUACAAAACAGUUAAGCCUUGGUAGAAGGCCACUUUAAUAGAAAAUAUAGAUUUUUCUGAGAGAUUCAAACUUUUACAAACACUUACAUACAUUUUACAAAGUUAUACUUGAGACACAUUCAAACGUUUUUGAUAUCAAACACAGACACUAAAAUACUUAUGAACUCACCAGCUUAAUGCUGAUAAACUCUUUCAAAAUAACUUGUAUUCCCAGGUCAUCAGUAGACAGGUACCGAUGCCAGCUUUUGAGAAGAUGGAGCGCAUUCAAGACUCGUCUUAUUAUUUUGAUUUAUAUUAUUUUGGUGUCUAUAACUGUACAGAACACGCUUGUAUUAAAAUUAUAUAUUUAAUGCAAUGGAUGAUGUUGUUUGCUUAUUUACAUUUACUGUGUUGUUAUACUUUACAUGACCAGAACGUUUCCGCCGUUCUUGGUUUUGGGGUGUGACACUUGCACACUGCAUCGGACCGUUGUGCGGAAACUACAUCGGACCGAAGUCUGGAACUAACCGAGGCAUUGCCCUCUGCAUCGGACCGAAGUCCGGAAACUGCAUCGGACCGAAGUCCGGAUCUAACCAGGGCCUUGCCCUCUGCAUCGGACCAAAGUCCGGAAACUGCAUCCGAUCGAAGUCCGGAACUAACCAGGGCCAUGCCCUCUGCGUCGGACCAAAAUCCGGAAACUGACUGAACAUAGCAUAGCAUAAUCAUAACUACUAACAUAACACAUAUACUGCAUACUGCAUCGGACCAAAGUCUGGAACGCAUAACACAAAGACAUACUUGAGUCACAAAGACAUCAAGCACACUGAACUACUGCAUCAGACCGAUGUACGGAACUCACUGAACAUAACAUAACAUGAUCAUGGCAUAUAAUAUGAACACAUAUUCUGCAUACUGCAUCGGACCAUAGUCCAGAACACAUAACACAUACCAUGCCUGUAUCACGAAGACAUCAAGCAUACUGAACUACUACAUCGGACUGAAGUCCGAAACUACUUCUAACUUAAACGGGCCGGCAUUGUGGCCAUAGACCUGUUCCUACUGAAAGGAAACUCACCUCACACUGCUGAAGUCCCAUAGACACAAUCCCACACUACUGAAGUCCCGCAGACUCAACCCUAGCUGCUGGAUGAUAGAUUCCCGAACUAUCAACACCAAAUAACACCCAAUUAAUAAUUGGGUUCUAACUCAUAACUAUAAAUACAUACUUUGGAUAAUUACUACAUUACCCCUAGCUUGGCUUACCGAAGCCCAAGGCCCAACCCAUAGGCCAAAAAUCAACUAGGGAUCAAAGCCCAACAUAUGGCCCAACUUUCCAAAUUUGGCCCAAACCUCUACAUGGACUUCGCUUAAGGCCCAACUGUUCAGUCCAGUCCAACAUGUCUCAUUCUAAGGGCCCAAUAUCUUACAACCAUCUAUGCCCAAACUAUGGCCCAUCUAAGGCCCAAUUUUCCAAAUUGGGCCCAAUCCUUCAUAUGGGCCUUACUCUAAAGCCCAACUAAUUAUUCUAGUCCAUUUGCUCAUUCUUGGAUGGCCCAACACAAAGCCCACGUGAAAUUAGGGUUUCACAUAAAAUGAUGAUUAGGGUUAAGUGUUUCUUACUUAACCCAUUAAGGACUUAAUCCAUUAAAUGCUCUGCUCUACUAUACAUGAGAUGGAGUGAUUGGGCUUAAUACAUAAUCCCAUCUCAAUGGCCCAAAAGUGGGUCCAAUAAGUCUAAGGCCCAAACACUCACAAUUAGGGUUUUCUAAACCCUAAUUAGGGUUCCUCAUCCAAACGUGGCCCAAUAGGCCCAAAAUAAAUCUCUAAGCCCAUUAGGGUUUUGCUUAUGGGACACAACCCACUACCACCUCGGGUAGUGGUGGUUCAUGGCGGCUCACGGCGGCGGCCACCACCUUAUGAUGGUGGUUUUGUGUUUCUUUUAUUAUUCAAUUUGCUAGUUACAAUUACAGUUAUUAAUCAUCAAUUACACAUGCACUACUAACAAACNUCUAGUGGUGGCCGGUGGUGGUAGAGGGUGGCAGCCACCAUGGUUGGCAACCAUGGUGCUUUUUUCAUGGUUUCCGGCCAAAAAGCACACCUCUACUAUCUAAGCAACACCAAAUUUGCAACACAUGAGCUGAACCCGUGAAACACGCCCAUUAGACAUCUUGUGGUGGCACGCGGCGAGGAUGACAGCAGCAGUCACCAUGGCCGACUGCCAUGGUGGUUCUUUCAUAGCUACCCUUCGAUAGAAAACCCACGCAACCAUAAGACUAGUAACAGCAGCACCGGAUACAUACAUACUUGCGUUACAUGGAUGAAACGCACACCACAAACUCCAUUGGAGUGACUGUUGACCAGAGCAGCGGAGAAGAAGCGCGUGAGUGGCGGCGGACACAACUGUGGGGUAGCACCAAGGGUCUGAGAAGGAACUCCACCAUGAACGACAUUAGCAGGAACAGCAAGAAAAGGGACCUUCGCCCUUGGUCCUCACUGACGUCGGCCAUCAGAGUGACGAUGUGCCGGUUGACAGCCCGUAUCGGCUGCAAAGCAUUGGCGGCUAACGGCAGUCAGCGGGCGUCCCGGUGUUGAUCGGAAAAACAAGGAGAAGGGGGAGCGACGGCUGGGGAGUCACAAGGGUAGUGGCGACUGUGGAAAUCAUGAUCUAGGGUUUGGGUUCUUUGGUUGCACUCCUUUGACAAGAGGAUGAGGGAUCGGAUAUAUCCCGUAACUCCAAACCAAAUUACAUUGCCAAAAAUACACUUUUGGUCCCUCCUCCCCAUAUAAUUUUCAGCAUCAAUCCAAAAUUUACCUUUUAAACCCUAAUCCCAUAAAUUCCUUUCAUAAUAGAUCCCUAUAUUACUAAUAAGCCCCUUAAGCCUUCAAAUCUUUUCAAUUUAAAUCCAUUUAUUACCAAACGCACCCUAACAUCUGUAAUUAUGACUUUAAAUUCCUCGAAACCAACGCCUCGCUAAAUUAUUUAUUCAUUUUAGGGCUUCUAUACAUUUAUUUAUUUAUUUUAUAAAUGGGGUGUUACAGUAUUAUUGUGGGUUGAAAACCCUAUAUGCUCACUAGGCUCCCAAGCCUGACCCACUCAGUUUUCUUUGUAUCAUAGGUAUCAAUACGAAGACAUAUUUCACUGAGAGAUUAAAGGAGAUGUAAAUCAUUAGUGUAAAUAAAUGUAAGUUCUGUUUAUGCUUAUGUGUCUGUAUCGGAACAUGACAUCCCAAGAUUUUGUUAUAUAAUGAAAAUACAUUCUCAUUGAGAAACAUUUUGAUAAAUUCUUAUGAUAUUUUGUUUUGGGAACAAAUUCCGCAACAAUUUUCUUUAAACGAUUACUCUGAUUAUAAAAACAAAGCAUAGACAAAUCGGUCUUUUCUGGCCGUGAAAUUGGGUAUGUCACACCCAUUAAUUCAAAACACCCUUCAAGUGUGUGUCCAAUUUUAUAGCAAUAUGAACACCAUCUAUCAUCAUUCUUUCCAUUCUUCUUUAUUCUUUCUUGUUCAAGUUACUUUAAGAUUUUCCUUUGAUGCUAAUUUUUUGGAGCUGUAUUGUUGUUGGUAUAGAAAGCGACGGCUUCUCCCAUUGUACUUCUAGUAGCACCAAUUUUUUUUAUGCUGUUCAUAUUGACUCAAAAUUUGAUAUGCAUUGUUUAGUGUGAGUAGAGGAUCGAUACUCAGAUUUGCAUCCUUAGGGCUCCUUAUUCUUCAUUGAGUCCUAUCAGAAAUUCAUAAAAGCAGUCAUUUUCUCUUGAUCUUGCAAUCUCUUUUACGAUUUCACACUUGCAACCUUGGCAGGUGCAUGCCUAUAACGGGGUAAUUGAUUGGACUUCAUCCCAAAUUCUUCUUAACUUUGUGUAACUACCUGAGAUCAUCAUAUUUUCUUGGCGGAUUGUGGUUAUCGUUCUUCUCAGUUCAUAUUCUCUUGGAGCAUUUUAUCUUCCAAAUCUUUCCUCAAGGUCUAGCCAAAUAUCAUGAGCAAUAACAUCACAUUUUAUGCUGCUCUUAAUCUCUUUUUCCAUAGCGCUAACGAGCCAUCCUCUAACUAUGGCAUUACAUCUCUUCCAGUUCAUCAAAUCUGUAAAUCCGUCUUUUGGUAUAGGAGAGAACUAUCAAUGAAUCCAUCCUUGUUCUUGGAGAACAAGACAUUCCUUAUAUCAUUCUUCCAAUCACUGUAGGUACCAUCAUGGAGAAGAUUCUCUCCAACGAAGUUUAAUCCAGGGUGAUUAGCAGAAGUGAGAAAAUAGAGUGAUGAUACGUCGAUGGUCUUGCAUGUGGGUGGUGGUAGUGUCUAUCGAUCGCUAACAACCAUCAUUUAAACAAAGCUAGGUUUGAGUUUCCAGUCUUUCUCUGAUAUGAUAAUAAUUUUAGAGAAGUAAACAUAUUUUCUUAUUAUUGAUAAAUUGAUUUACAUAUGAGUAUAUAUAACUAGAACAGAAAACACAAAUCCUAGAGUACCUAAAAUAUUUAAAAAAGAUAAAUACAAAAAAUAAAGAUAAAUAAAAGAUAGAUAAAGAUAAUAACGAUCCUUAAUCUUAAUAGAUCUCGUUUUGAUUGAAAAAUUUUCAUCCAAAAAGAAUUCUUAGACAUUUGGAAAUCUCUAACUUUCCAAAAUAUCUUGAACCAUACAUGUGUAUACGUAUAUGUGUUUUAACAGGGAAUAUAGUUGUAAUCUUAUGGAAAUUCUUGGAAAUUAAUUAUAAAAAGUUGCCAAGGAUCUAAAAUUGUUGCAAUGUUUUUGUAGUUUUAAUAUAUGAUAAAACAGUAAUAUAUUUCUAUACUAGUUGUGAGACUCAUGUAUUAUAUUAGUUAAUUUAAAAAAAAACAAAGUUAAAUAUAAAUGUCAAAAUAUUUGAGAACUUUGAAUUUAUAAGAAAAUAAGAAAAAUAAUUAAUUAUUGUAAUAGAAAUGUUUUUUAUCUUUUAAAUUUAAACAUAAAUUAAAAUAAAGAAAAGAAAUUAAUGAGCUUUAGUUUUGGGAAUUUUGAGAUUAAAAGGUAAGUUUAUUAAUCAAAUUAAUAUCCAUUUAUUGCUCUAAUUAUUAUAUUAAAAUAUUAUGUGAAAUUUAAUAAAAUACAAAACUCAUAAAAUUAUAUGUGAAAAAAAUUUAAUUCAAAAUAACCACAAAAUGACAUUUGACAAAUUGAAUAAGAGUGUCACAGGUGACAAAAAAACAUUUACUUAUUAGAGAUGAUUGUUUAUUAGAUAACAAAGGAUUUAGCAAACGCAAAAGUUGUGUUAAAAGAAUGUGUUAAAAAUUAUAAUUGAGAAAUUAAAUAUCUCCCUAUCUUUUGUUCUUACCAAUUAUUGUAUUCAAUUAAAUGAUGACAUAUGUCAUAUUAUUAUACUAAAAUAUCAUUAAAUUUCAUUAAAUUAGCUAUAGUAACAUAUACAGAUAACCUUUUAUCGUUGUCAAAAAUUUAGUUCCAGCUAGAAACAAAUUUUAAAGAGAAAAUAUUGCUCUAAGAGGCCACACUAUUCCUUAUAAAUCAACCACAUUGUAAAUAAUUUAUCGUUAUUGAAUUAAAAUAUUUUCUAUAAAUAUGUCGUGGAUGCUAAAAUCAUUACCAAUGACAGAUUUUUCUACAAAUAUAUAUUACAUCGUUUUUUUAGAAUUAAAUAUCAAUCACAUGAAUAUUAUAUGGCUACCAUAACUAAACACAUCUACCUAAUCAAAAAUCAACAUAUGUACGUCAUUUGUCUGUUAUGAUUUUUAUUUUAGCUUUUUAGAAAGGCGAUAUUUGUUUUUUUAGUUUUUAACAGUACAAGGCUCUCCCACCAAUUUGCUACCAUGUAUCCUCUAUCUUCACCGUCACCGCCAUAACUAUCAAUUCGACGGAGAUGAUCGUCUCCAAAUUAAGACAUUAAAAGAAGCGACACUAAAUUAACGAAGUUUACUUGUGUCAUAAAAUUAAUAAUAUGGCUCUAGAACAUUUGUAUUAUGGUGAAAUCUUGAUCAUGAAUGAUUAUGUAAUGGCAUUAAAGAAAAUGAUCAGUCCUUUUGGAUAUCUACGGACUAAUGGACUUAUAUCAAUAUAAGGAUGAAAUAUUGUUUGGAAGAGGAAUACACUUGUUUAUUAUUAUUAUUAUUAUUAUUAUUAUUAUUAUUAUUAUUAUUAUUAUUAUUAUUAUGUUUAAUCGAGUCGAGCUGCUGGAAGCUCGACAGUAUUGAGUAUGUCAACAGCUGGAGCUGGAGCUUGGAAAUGUAGGCUCGAGUUCAAGUUAAGUUUUGAGCUUGGCACAACUUGGCUCAUUACAAAGCUUAUAAAUAAUCCAAAUUGGAAACAAUUUAUCGUUAUUGAAUCAAAACAUUUUCUACAAAUGAAUGAAAUGAUGAAGGAAAGUCAUUUAACGAAUGACGAUUUUUCGACAAAAAAUUAUUACAUUGUAUAACUAUAAUCCAAUAUCAACCACUUGAAUAUGAUACGAAUAAUAUAACAAAACGAAGCACAUCUACUUAAUCAAAGAAUCAUAUUUGCAUCACUGCAUGUCGUAUGUUUUAGAAAUAUUUCUUCAUUCUUUUGUAUUUUUUAGAACUGCUUCUGAGAAAUUUAUUUUUUAGUUUUCUACAACCAUCCACCAACUUCUUCGACAAUUUUUCACGCUCGAGACCUCCAUAUUCAUCAUAACUUGCAUUGGAAUGAUCAUCUCCGUAGACAUGAUUCCAACCAGAGGUUUUAAGAAGACGUGGUGUACAGCUGGACAUGAAUGCAGAUCAAUGGCACUUCUCGGCCUUGUUGCUCCUUGCUAUGAGUUGGAACUGAAGAAUUUUCUUUAUUUUCCCAUUGUUUGCCUCUGUUAAUAUAUAUUCAUGGAGAAUGGAGACCAGAAACCCUCCAUGUAGGACUGACGACUUUUCAGUCACAUACUUCCUAGCUACAAGGAAAAUUAUUGGUGCUUUCCUCACGAAUAAAUAAAAAUCAUUUAAAACAUUGGUUUAUCUAAAUCAAGGUUCUAGAGAUCGGACUAAAGUGUGAUUAUUUUCUACAACUAUGAACUGUAUUAUUUUGUAUUAUAGUAGUAGGUUAUAUUAAUUAUAAAUUAAUAAUAUAAUAUAUCGAUGAAUAAUAAAGAUUCCAACAUAAACUUCUUCUCAAAUCUUAUAGGUUCACCGUUUUUUGACAUUAAAGAAUACAUACACAUAACAAAACAAAAUGUAAUAACCAUGAUAAAAAUAACUAAAUAAAAAUGGAAAUAUUUUCUUAUUUGAGUUCCAUGCCUAAACAAAUGUACAAACACGGAAAUGUGAAAAUUAACGGUUCCAUUCGGGAGAGAUGUUGGUGUCAAUUUGUAUUCUCGAUUUACUAAGAGCGUCUUCAGUAUAAUUAGCUGGCAGCGGAUAACUUAUAGCGGGUAGCAGGUAGUUUGUAGUUUGUAGCGUUUUGUUAAACGCUAUAUGAAAUAGCAUUUGAAUUUGAAGCGUUUUGUUUAAACUAAACGCUAGAAGGUUGUAGUGCCAAACAAGGCUUUUUGUUCAAAGCGGAGCGACUUGUCAAAUGUUAGAAACUAGAAGCUCUCAAACGCUUCCAAAAGCUCCGUUCCGAACACGUCCUAAAUGGAUGUGGAAGCAUGGAUGUAUUAUGUGUUCUGGGUAUCUUAAUUUAAUUCCACAUUAAAGACCAAUCAAAAGCCUUUUGGAAUAGGAGGAUUACUGGAGGAAUUUGGAAGUGCGUUUGACCUAGUUUGACCAGUUUACUGACGAAUUUCCGAUGGACACCAUUCCUUAGGGAAUUUGGAAGUGCGUUUGACCACCAUUCUCACGGAUGUUCCAUCGCUAAUUUGUUCUGUUAAUAAUUGUAUCACCAAUAUUUUUGGGCUGAUUCUUAACAUUUUUGGGCUGAUUCAUUCACUUUGUAAGUUCGAAAAUAUCAUGCAAGAUAGUUAAAUCCAUGUGUUACAAGUGAUAGUCAUAAAACAUGAACAAAUGGCAAAUUUGAAGAUUUUAUCGUUUUUUUUUUCUUUUGGAAAGGGAACUUCCCUAAUGAAGGUUUCCACGUCAACUUUUGCGCACCGAUUAAGCCCAUGCAAACAUAAAACAUUGAUUCACUGUAAGUGAAUCUUCAUGGCCACAGGGGCUGAGUAGCGUCAGCAUUUGAAUAUGAAUCAAUAGGUUAUCCACCAUAUCUUUCACAAGUCAUACCAAAUCACCACAAUCCAGAUGGUUAAGUUUUUAUAGUUCUUAUUGACACUUUAAAUAGAAUCUUGAGGAAUUUACUUUAUAAGUUUUACAUUAAAAUAUUUUAAAAAAACGUUCGAAUUAGUAAGAUUAUAUAGUUUUGUUAAGAAAUUAAUUAUUUAUCAACAUCAUUUUUAGAUAGGAGUUAAUUUUAAAAUAUGUCAUGUGUUAUUAUUAUGACUAUACAUAACUAACCGCACGAGUAAACAAAUUAGGAGUUUAUUAAAAUAAAAUUUUGAAUCAGGGCUAGUACACAGGAGACGGAAUACAUGUUUACAUCAAUGAUAUCAUAUUCGGAAGACCCAUUUUCUUUUGAUCAAGUCCAACUAUUUUUAAACUUGUAGUAUUAAUUGGUCUUUUGGUAUACUUCCAACUAUUUUUAAAAUUGUAGUAUUAAUUGGUCUUUUGGUAUACUUUCAUGGUAAAAUUAGUCUCCAUCGUUAACAUCCAUCAAAUUGAUUUUGUUAAUGUGCCACUCACGUAAAGAUAUUUAUGUCUAGGGGCAAUUUUGCAAUUUACUCUAAUAAAUUUAGGAUUAUUAACAUAGAUGCACAAUAAUAUUUUUCAUUUGGUUUUAAAAUGUCUUUCAACUCAUUUUCGUAUCUGUGAUCCCACUAAAGUGACAAAUUAUUUGUCAUUUAUACCAUGAGAGCCGGUCACCCGGUAAUUAAAUGUGAUGUGGCCUUUAGACUUUCGAUUUCUUCAAUUAAAUGAUAUCUCAUCAAUGACACGUCAACUUUGCCUUUGUAUAAUUGUUCAAAAAAUAGAUUUACUCCAGUCGUUUAUCAAAGUCGUGUUGAAGUGUUCAAGAUUCUAGGGCUUUUCUCUCACAGUUCAGUAAGUUUUCUCUCAUCUAGGGUUCUUUUGUAGUUAAAAUUCAUGGCGAACCGGGACCUUAUUUUCUUCAAAGUGCAUUUGCACUAUAACGAUGUUUUUACAAGGCACCCACAUAGAUAUAUUGGAGGUGAUACGUUCAUGUUUACUGAUCAUGAUUUCUCUAGAAUGGAUUUAUAUGGGUGUUGUGAAUUUCUUGAAAGGUUUAUUGGAGAACCUUUUGACAAACUUUUUUUACUUAGCACAUGAUCAAACUAUAGCAAAUGGACUUACAGUAAUCGCCAAUGAAAUGGAUUAUCAAGUGUUUAUCGAUGUUGCUUAUCAAUCACCUAAAAGGCCAACAGACCUGUAUUUAGAUCAUAUUGGAAAACGAUUUGAGGAUUGGUUCGUUGAAGGAAGUGAUGAAAUGGUUCAGUCAUCCAGGGGGAUGAUAAAGAACCUUCACAAGGAAUCUCCGAUCCUGAAGCAGCCUAUAUGUUUGGUGGUUGUUUGGAAGAUGAAAUCACUGGGGAAUACUAUACCCCUCUAAACAACACCUAGGACGAUGAGUUUCUUAACAAGUUAUGCCACAAGGUGGAGAAGAGAAAAAGGUUGAAGAAAUAGAGAAUAGUAAGGAAUUGGAAAAUGAUGUAGUUGAGGAUAUCCUAUCUUUAAUCCUCAGGUAUACUGGAAGAAGCAAGUACCAAUUUUAGGCACGCGAUUUGAGAAUCCAAAACAGCUUAAGAGUAUCUUAUGCAAUUCUGUUGUUAAGAAUGGCUAUCAACUAUGGUUCGAAAAGAAUGACAGUAAGAGGCUUCUAGUAUUGUCUUGUGAAGGUGCUUGUACAUUCAAGCUAUGGGCAAGUUGGAUAAGUACAUAACACAGUGUUCAAAUCAAAUUUUUAAAAAGUGAGCAUCAAUGUGCUAGGAACUACAAAUUGGGUUCAAAUAUAAAUUGUCGAUGGAUUGGUAGCCACUACACCAAGGAGAUGUUGCAUAGACAGAAAUUGACAAUUAGGCAACUAAGAUUGGAGGUCAUUAGGAUAUUAGGUAUUGAUGUUAGUAUUAGCCAAUGCACAAUGGCCAAACAGUAGGUUAUUAAUAUUAUGGAAGGUACCCUUAUAGAGCAUUAUGCUAAGCUCCGGUCUUAUGGAGAGGAAAUUAGAAGAUCCAAUCCUAGUUCAACAGUCAGCAUGGACGUACUUAUAAUGCAAGAUGGAACUAAUCACUUUAGUAAGUAUUGUGUUUGUUUUGAUGGUGUAAAGAAAGGGUGGUUAUAAGGGUGUAGGAAUGUGAUAAGAAUUGAUGGUUGCUUCUUGAAAGGGUAUGUUGCUGGUGAGUUGCUUUAUGCUGUGGGGAGAGAUGAUAGGGACUAAAUAUGCCCAAUUGCUUGGUUACUGGUAUGUUUUGAAAACAAGGAAAACUGGAAAUGGUUUCUAUCAUUGUUAAGUGAUGAUCUCAAUCUUGGUAUGGGACAAGGUUUAAAUUUUAUGUCAGACCAACACAAGGUAAGCAAAACAUUUUAUUAUUUCUCAUUCACAAAGUAUAUUACCUAAUUUAUUUCUAACUACUUGUAUGUCUGUAUAGAUUCUUAUGGAAGCAAUCAAGGAAUUGUUACAACAAGCUGAGCAUAGGCAAUAUACAAGGCACAUUUUGGCCAACUUCAGUAAAAAGUUUACAGUGGCACAGUUUGUUAACUUAUUUUGGUCUGGAUGUAAUGCAAAAACAGAACAGUCUUCAAUGAAAUAAUGAAGGAUAUUAAGCUUAUGAUUCCAAAGGCCAAUAACUACUUGAUAGAGAAGAACCCUAGAACAUGGUCAGGAGCUUACUAUCAAGUUGGUAGAUGCUGUUCUAGUGUGGAGAAUAGAGGAUGUGAAAAUUUCAAUGCAGUCAUAGUUGAAGCCAGGAAGAAACCUAUUAUCACAAUGCUUGAAGAAUUGAGAAUGUAUAUGAUGAACAAGCUGUUCACAACAAAGCAUAAUGGAUGGUUAAGUGAUGUUUCAUCUGAAAUAAGGCUGCGGUUAAAUGAGUUAAAGGUUAAUCGAAGGUUUUGGGAGGUAUUGCCAUAUGGACUCAACCAGUUUGACACUAGGUCAGGAAGUGUGUAACAUCCCAAUUUUCAAGACCAAAAAUUUCAUUUUAGAUAUGUUACUUAUAAAACAAUUUACUGAAAAACAUCAUCGAUAUCAUAUCAACCGAAGAUCUCAUAAGCCAAAUGAAUUAAAACAUGUCGUGGAAUAAUAAUAACAUCAUAGUACAAUCCCAAGAGUAUCAUAGUGCAAAAAUCAUGUGUGUGUGUGAUGUGCAGCUACCACACCGACUCCUUCCCCUUCGCUGAAGAGGUACCUGAAACAAAACUGAAAAUUCUAAGCACGAAGCUUAGUGAGUUCCCCCACCAUACCACAUACAACAUAACAUACAUACUGCCGAACAAUUCUGGGGUGCCCGACCUACCAUGUCCGGCCAUUCUGGGGCGCCGACCUAUCCUGUCUGGAAAUUCUAGGUUGCCGACCAACCCUGUCUGGCAAUUUUGGGGUGCCGACCUACCCUCCGAUUUAUCCCAACCGGCUACAGGGACCAUUUCACCCCUACAACUACCAUAUAAUAAUAUAGCAUAGACAUACUGUCAGACAUAUUUGGGGUGCCCGACCUACCAUGUGGUCCUUACGACCGUAACUCGGGGUCUAUUCCCCUACUGCCUACUAUCACAUAACUGAUGGAUUUUAGCAAUAAGAACAUCCUAUGUGCUCAUGCAAACCCUAAUGCUUGGAUCUAGGUUUCUCUAUUGUACAUGCAAUGUAUCCAAGACUUACAAUCUUAGAUCUAACAUAUUAUAAACUGAAUUAGGGUUUAUAGAAUUACCUUUGAUUGUUAUGUAGCAAUACCAAUCUCAAAUCCUCCUUGUGAUGACUUUAGAAAGCUUAGAGUCACAAGUGUCACUCCUCUAAUGGCUUACAAACACCAAGAGCAAGAGGAUGAAGAAUAAGGAGAAGGGAGGCUGCCCAAAAUCGUCCAAAACCCUAGAGGAACUCAUAGCCACGUUUUUGGGGCUUAAGGGUACUAUAUAUACAUGUAGGCUUUUAGGGUUUUAAACUAGGAAACCCUAAUCUGGCUGCUUAAGCCCUAAGCAGCCCAUGGAUUCCAUUGGAAUAUCCAUUGGAUGAUUUCUAAUGGGCUUCCCCAUAGAAUUCGUCCAACAUAUAUCUUAUUAUGUAAUCCAUAGCCCAAAUGUAAUUAUCUUAUAAUUACAGUUCCAGUCCCUUAAGUUUAAUUAAUCUCUUUUAGCCACAAAAUUAAUUAUCAAUUAAUUCUUGACUAAUAUUAAUUAAACAAUAUGAUUUCUCCUUUAAUAUAUUAUUCUCAUAAUAUAUUAAUAAAUCAUAAUUAAUCCUCUCUCUCCAUAAUUCAUCCUAUCAAGUUGCUUUGGUGAAGGCAACCCAAAAGGACCAUGCACCAUCGGGUCAAGUACAUACCAAAAUAGUUAUGGACUUAGACACUAAUCCAACAGUCUCCCACUUGGAUAAGUCUAAUAACUAUUCUGCGUAUGACUUCAGAUCCUGAUCUGCAAUCGUAGCUUUCAAAAGUCGCUGUCAACUCUGAUCUUAUCAGAUACGCGUGUCCUUUAGAUAAGGGAUCAUAUAUUCCUCCAUUCUAGAUAUCGUAUAGACUGAGACAUGGAUUUAAAUCAUUCUCUCUGUCUAUGUGUUGUUUCCCGAUUUCCGAUUUAUGACGACUGACAACAGACUACAAUUGAACACAUCAAAUUAGUCCCGGCUUGGCCAAGCGCUUAGGUGUCAUCACUAAAUCAUCGAGGGGCCCACAGAUAUCGCUUUCAUCCCACUUUGGAUAAAAGGAACGGAUAAACUUUGAUUCAAUGCUUGCUUGCACUCACUUACUGAAUCACACACAACAAUAUGUUUUAUAACACCAAGUUACUGGUGCGUUUACAUAUUAUCAAUGUGUAACCGACUCGCAAGAUACAACUCACACAUCUCGGUUUCAAGAAUAUAAGAUAUUAUCGUCUCACCAAUCACUCGUGAUAAAAUCCAUGAAGUGAUCCAAGUGAGCGUGGGUUUAAUCCAAUGCUCAAAUCAUAUUCAUAAGCACUCAUGAACGUUGCAACAAACAUUUGCUUAUGUCUAAUACACUUUAGACAAUCCACACACCAAUUCACGACAGUCUUCAUUCAUACCUACUUCCAACAUAUGAACGACUGUGGUCCGUUCGAAUAAUUCGAUUAUUCUGAAAUAAUUAAUUAUUCAGGAAGUUAAAACAUGCAAAGUGAAACACAAGAAUAUUACUAAGCCUAUAUGGUCCCAAACCCUUGAGUAUAAAUAAAAAACCUUUUAUUUAUCACCAUAUCGAUUACUCAUUAUUUGUUGUUUCGGGUAAUCAACUUCUUACUUGAAUUUUUACUACACUUGUCCCAUGCUCUCAGCAUGCACACAAAGUUUACCUAUGGUCCUUACUUUGUGAAAUAGAUCAAAUGAACACAUUUCCAAUCAUACUCAUUUCACAACUCACAAUCCUUAUCAUAAGUAUAAGAAUAUCAAAUUCUUGUUACUUAUGCUAGAUUCUAACAUUUUAUGCAAUGAUUCUUUCAUAAAGUCGUAGCUCAAAAGCAUCAAGAUUUGGCCAAUCUCUAUCUGAAACAAUUCUAUAGAUAUGAUGUCUCUCACUAAAAGUACAUUACUUUAAACAUCCUUCUAGCAUAAAAGUUUAUAAUCUAGACAUAGGUUCUCAAUAUCCAACUCCCAAUAUGGAAACCUUUCCAUAUUUGCCAUAUGACUACUCAUUCUUAAUAGAAUCUUAUCUAUUCAUAAUAAUGUCGAUAUGUUCCAUCCAAUACCAUACUUCUAACUACUCACAAGCGACCAAUCCUUAGCGAGCUUUGGAUCGUCCUUUGAUAGUUGUUUAAUUAUUGUAGGGUUUCAAAGCACUCCAUGGAUGAUGGCAAUGGGCUCCUUUGAUGAAGUGUAAGUUAAAAGCCCAAGACUUCUAUUUUCCCUAUAAAUGGUCAUGUAUUAUUCAUUAUUAGGUUAUGAGUGAGGCAAAAUGUAGCCGCCACACGAGGUUUCUUAUGUAGUGUUAGAUUCUUUAGUCUAUGCUGAAAGUGUAAUUUAUUCCUCAUGUUUUGAAUAAAUCGAGUGAUCAUUCGACAUAUCUUCUUUAUUUGUGUUGGUUCUUAUUUUCCACAUCUUGUUCAUCAAAUCACAAUUAGGGUUUCAAUCCCAACAAGUGGUAUCAGAGCGGGUCUUUGAAAAUCUAUUGAUUUUUGAAGUAUCGGUUCUUGAUUUGAUGAUUUUCUACAAAAGUUUAUUGAAGAUUUUGGUGUUCGGGUGGUUUGGAAACAAGUUUUUUUUGAUCCACUGUUCAUAGAGAAUUAUGUAUGCAAUUAUUGUUCAUGUCCUGUUCAUCAGGGUAAUUUUCUUUUAAUCCAAUCUGUUUCAUGCUCGUAUUUUUGAUCUGAUCUUGAUCAAUUGUUUUGUCCAAAAUAAAUUGGUUCCUUCGUGGAUUAAUUUCUUUUGUUUUGUCCCUAUUAUUCCGUCACUGUUCAUGGUUCAUAUGUCUAUUGUCGAUCCAGGUUUUCUUUGUCCCUAAUAUUAUACUUGAGUUCCUGUGUGCGUCAUCUGCUUUAUGUAUCGAUUACGAUUACUCAGUUCAUCCGGUUAUUUGUUCUCUCAAGUUCAAUCAAGGUUAAUAAUCGCUGCUUAUAUCAUUAUCGACUAAAGGAUAUUGAUUUGUCUUCAUCAAUUAUGAUGAAUUUAUUUCUGUUUGAUUCUAUCCAAGUUCAUAAUUUUCAUUGAUUUACUUGUUCCCGUUCUUACUGUUGAUUUGAUUUCAUUUGUUUCUUGUUGAACUUUAAAAUUAUUGAUGAUCUCUGGAUGAAAUCGAUCUAAGAAGUAUUGACUUGGUGUUGGUUGAACGUAAUUUCUAGGGUCAUAUGAUGAACUGUGUUGAAUCUCAAUUUGAAUGGUCAAAUAGAAAAGUCAAAAUUGGAGUUAUAGAUUUAUGAGCGGUGCUGUCAUUUUUGAGUGUAAUCGGAUAUGAAGGCUGAAUCGAUUUGCUAAUGAUAGUCGGUCUCUUUGUUGUUUAUCGUGAUUCUGGACUAUGGCUUCUAUUCAAACUCGAUGGGUCAAAGGAUAAAGUCAAAAUUGACCGUGGUUUAGGGUGAAUAAUGAGCGAACGCUAAACCUGAGAACGUUUGCCUCUGAUAGAUUCGUUUUUGUGGAUUCUCUUUGGGGUAUAAUCGACGGACCUGAAACGAACUUGGGUUCGCGCGUUUAUGCUUGGAACAAAAGACGGGAGGACCAAAAGCGAACCUGUGAUUCGGUUUGGCUAAGGUUUCGCUUUUGUCAUGAAAUCGGAUUUGCUUGUGAUGCUCGGACCGAACAUGGUUUCGUUUUUGUAUCAUCAAUUUUGGAAUGAAAGCACUUGGAACGAAAGGGGGGAGAUUCACUUUGGGUGUACUUGGAACGAACGGUGACACUAUUGGACUCGGAUUCGGAGUCCCAGUAGGCACGAACAUCAGCGACAGAACGAAAGGAUCGAACAAUGUUAUUGGUUGAUUGGAAUCGGGCUUGAGGUUUCGUAUGCGAACAAUAAUUUCAAUCACCAUUCUAGUGGUUCUUUUUAAUCAGACGUCUUAUUGGGGAUGAAGAUAUUAAGUUACGUUUUUGGUCCCUAAAACUUCAAUGAUAUGAAACUUUUGAUCCUUGUUGUUUUCAAGGUUUGGCAUUCUUGGACCAUUCCAGAUUUUGUAACAAAUAAAGGGGAAUAUGGUGUAGAAUUAUUAAUUUUGUCCCCUGAAUUUCAGAAAAGUGACGGUUUCAACCCAUUUUUCGAAAAGUUUGCAAAUUUGAGGGCUGGUGAACCGUUUUGGAUUUUUUAAUGCACAUAUUUUUUUCGUGAACAGAAAAUUAUGGAUUCCAUCAAGUCUUGGCGGUUCGGAAAGUCGUUUUUCGUGAUAAUGAAAAUUUUUUACGACUUUUUCGGAUUUUAUACUUCAUUGUAUAUAUCAUUUUGUCGUGGGGGAGCACAGUAAUUUCUAUCUAUUCAAGAUCAUACUCAUGACCAUAAAAGGAUUUAUAAUCACGUUUUCGAUUAUAAAUUGGGGGAGAAUUUGGUAUGGCCAUUCGAAAUUUGGAUUUGUGACUUUUCAAAGUUGAAGAUUUUUGAUCAAGUUUGUGGUAGAAUUAUGAAGGUAGCUUUUACAGUGGAAGUUCUUCAUCGAGCUCUGCUAAAGCUUUUACAGAGAAUUAUCCUUUACAGCGGAAGUUCUUUAUCGUGCUCUGCUAAGGACUUGUUAUAUCUCCGACUUCUAGUUUUUUCUCGAUCAAGUGGCAUUACGACUCUUAAAGUUUGGGUUGUCACAUGACUUUUUUGAUGGCUUAUAUCAUUAGCUUAUUUGAAGAUCAUUGUGGCUUGGAGGGGGAGUUCUUCAAAGACAAUAAGUGAUUCGAUAUCUUUGUUCUGAAAUGGGUUUUUAUGGCGGGUUUGGUUUUCAUGAAGAUUUUUUUUGGGAUUACAUUCGAAAAUGAAGUUUAAAGACAUUACUUCAGUGCUUGGUUUAUAUAUCCUAGAGCCCGUGUUUGAAGACUAUUGAAGAAUCAAGAUUCGUGGAUUGCUUCAUAUAUUCCUUGUUGCAAGAUCUUUUUAUUCGCUAGAUGCUUGUUUUGGAAGAUAAAGCAUUGUCAUCCAUUCCAUACUUUGAGGGGGAGAUUGCAGGGUUUCAUAGCACUCCAUGGAUGAUGGCAAUGGGCCCCUUUGAUGAAGUGUAGGUUAAAAGCCCAAGACUUGUAUUUUCCCUAUAAAUAGUCAUGUAUUAUUCAUUAUUAGGGUUAUGAGUGAGGCAAAAUGUAGCCGCCACGCGAGGUUUCUUAUGUAGUGUUAGAUUCUUUAGUAUAUGCUGAAAGUGUAAUUUAUUCCUCAUGUUUUGAAUAAAUCGAGUGAUCAUUCGACAUAUCUUCUUUAUUUGUGUUUGUUCUUAUUUUCCGCAGCUUGUUCAUCAAAUCACAAUUAGGGUUUUAAUGCCAACAAUUAUCUUAGUCAAAAACCGAUUCAUGUCCUUUUUCCCUCUUAAUGCGCUAGACAUUUGGAAAAUUUUAGAAUGGUUAAAUAUUAUAGCAUUUGCAAUCGAUCCUAUACCCGAAGCGUAUGGGACACGGUGCAUAAUGUCUUACAUAAAGAUCUUAUACUUUAUCAAUCUUCUGCCAUAAUAUUUUAUGUGUUUUGUUCUUACAAUUCGAACUAUGAAGAGGGAUGCCAUAAUCAUAAUCGAAAUUUAAUACGACACUAUGUAUCCUUGACUAAAUUUAUUAACAUUCCACAACCUAAGCCUUUAGAUUUGAAAUGAAGCAUAAUAUUCUCUCCCUUAAUUAUAGUAAAAAAACUUUUCAACCCUUGCGACUUUGCAAAGUAGAACUCUUGUUUUCUAUAAUUAAUAUUGCUAACUUGCAAUACUUGCCGUAAUAAUCAUACAAGCAAAACUUUUAUGCUCCCACUAUCAUGAUGAUUAUUAUCAUAUAAGCAUAACACUUAUGCUCCCACUAGCUUUGACAUGUAUUCAGAAACCAACUUAACUUCCAGAAAAAACAAUACCUAUUGAAUUUCUUAAGUUCAUAUUUCUAAUACCUAAUGCUUUGAUAAUCCUUUAUCUAAGCUUAUACACCUUUGCCUUAGAUAGCUCAUGUGUUUGUCUAACCAAUUCAUACUAAUUGCCAAAACUCACAAUUCGAAUCAUGGAAAGGGAUACCGUAACGAUAAUCGAAUUCGAGAAUCCAAUUUUCACAAUCACUAUCUUCUUAAAAUCUCUCUUAGUGAAAGCAUUUCCUACAGUCAUUUUCAUGAAGGAGAGAAUCUUAUGACACUUCGAUUUUAAUGGUGUAUGUGUUCCUAUCCAUGUGAAUUUGUUAAAACCAAAAUUUACGACAAAUUCAAACUCAUAUGGACCGAACCUUCUCAAUCUUGAUUUCUUGCCUCAUGGUAACACUAGUGCCCACCAUGUCUUCCAAGUAGUUAAGCAACUCACCCUUUGCUAUCAAUGUACUUUCCAUUGAUCAUGGUGCUUGCCUUUUAUGUGUUCAAAUGAGAACUUAUAGAACUCAUACGCAUAAUUAACUCAACUGGAAUGGCACAGAAACAAGAUAGUGUCAACACAAUAGUUUGUGAACCUCAGGUCGUGUGCUAGUGAUGAUGGAUGAGGUUUAUUCUUGAUUAGUUCUUGAACUUUUCAAGACCAUUAAGACUCCCACUAACUCCUUGACAUAUAAGAUUCUCUUGUCAAUAAAAAUUUCUCGACAAACAAAUAUUUAAGAGUUAGUGUAGAUUUUAUCAAGACAAAACACUUCACAAAACUGGUCCUAGUUGGUCUUUGUCUUAUCCGAGACAUCACAACUUUCCAAUUUCAAAUGUGCGUCAAUAAGAAAACCUUUUUCAAUUCCACAUUUGAUGAAUGUUAUAAACCUUCUUAAGAAUUGUCACUCAAUGUCACAAUCUUAACUCUAAGACUUGUUUUUGGAACGAAGUAUGAUUGACUUUUUGAUUUAACAAAUUUUUUCAAUUCUUGAUUCCUUUUCUCAGACAUAAAAUUUCCCUAAGACUCACUUAGAGGAUCAAUUGAGAUAUGGUUCUUAAUCAUUAAGAGUUAUCAUAAAACAUAAAAAGUACUCUCCCUUCUUCUUAAAAUAGAGAAACUUUUAUCUUUCUGGCGACUUGAUUCUUCUUAUUCGUUCUGCUAUUGAUUUAAAUUCUUUCAAUCAACUCGGAAUUACACUUAAUCUUAUAAGUAUAAACAUAUUUACUAAACCUUUAGUAAAUCAUGACGAAUAUCUUUGUUACUCUUGUGGUGGACUUGAUCAACACAUAACUUUGUGUACUCGAUCUCCUAGUCCUUCACUUGACACUUUGUCAACGAAUUAGUUUAAUUUCCAAAUAUGAAAUUUCUCAUUCAUCAUGCAACCAAGUUGUAUGAUUCCAACUUUCUGUCCAAUUGAAAAUUGGACGAUGAGAAACUUUCAUUAUUUGGUAAAUUCUUGACCUUUCCACAAAUAACAUAAUUAAGAAUCAAAUCCAUUUUUCUAAUAAUAGAAACAUUCAAAACAUCAAUUUUUUUUCUUACACGCCAUCGCAAGGAUAAAAUAAUAUAAAAUCAAAAUUUUAUUUUAUUGCAGAAAAAUUUGUCCUUACAACGCAAUUCUUUGAAAAACUAUGCUAAUACAUAUUUCUUAGCAAUCUUACUCUAACUCCAAGUAGUAGCUCAAGAAUCUAGUCUUCCAGUAAUGUGAUUGAAAUCCAUUUCUUCAUGAUUAGAUUCUGCUCACUUCUUCCAUUAAGUUUCCUCUCUUUUCUUCGAUUCUACAAAACAUCAAAUGUAAUCUUAUCACAUCAUGUAUUAAGAAUCUACAAUAGGAACUUAAAAGAGUUAGUUAAUAGAUUUUACCUAAAUUAGAGCCAUACGUUUUGACUCUCCCAUCUCUUAGAUCUCUUAGGUAAAUAGGGUAGCUUCGUCUCCAAUGCCCCUUCUCUUGGCAAUAAAAGCAAAUUGACUCUUUUGGAACAACACAUGGAAUUACUUCAGACUUUGCCUUUUCUCUUAUGAUCAAACUUUUCGAUCAUGGAAUGCCUUUCGUUGCCAUUGCCUAUAUCCAUAGAGGUCUGGAAGGCAGAUUCACCAAUCAACUUUGCUUUUCCAGUGCGCCAAACCAUCGCUGAUUCAGCAGCAAUAAGCAUGUAGGUGAGAUCUAUAAGGGCCACAUCGUGGUUCAUCAUAUAGUACUCUCUUACGAACUCACUAUACGAGUUAGGAAGUGACUGAAGAACCCAGUCAACAGCCAGCUCCUAACAGACAAUGGAUCCCAACAUUCUUAACCUAUCAAUGUGUGACUUCAUCUCUAGGACGUGUGCACACACCGACUUUCCUUCUUCGUAUUUACUUGCCAAAAGGGCUUGUGUGAGCUUGAACUUUUCAAGACUUCGAACUUGUGGGUUAGGGAGACUAAUUGGAGGAGGUGGAGGAAGUGAAGCAUGAUGUCUUGUUCCUCGAUCGAAUCGUGGAAUAUCAUCUUCAUGUGGAAAGCUUGUUUCACGAGAUUUGGGAAUACCAUAGUUGUCAUACUUUGACAUCUACAAAACGGGAGAAAGCAAAUUCAAGUUAGUUGAUUGAUUGAGUCCUUAAUAAAUCACCCAAAUGAGAUAUUAAGGCUAGGACCCAACACAAUAUGCGACAACCUAGAAAAGGGAUGCGGUAAUCUAGUUGCAGAAUAUUUGAAGGUAGGUAAAUGAUGAUUUAACAAUUUCCACCAUGAAAAACGAAAAAGAAAUUUAAGUUUUUAAAUCUAUGAAAACUCCUAGAUCCUUUGAGAUUCAUUGAACUUUUCAAUGGCAUGUUUAAAUCUCGAUAUGCCCCUCUAGUUUGUGACUGGGAUACCGAGGAUCACAAAGCGGGUGUGAAUAACCAUGCAAACUUACAUGGUGCCCACACAUGUUAUAGUCACCUAUUCGAUGUGCCAGUUAACCACACACGCUCCACCAAACUAUGAAAAACAUUGAGUCACCCUUUUCUACCUUUGCUUAGAAUCAUUUAGUGUGCCGGUUAACCACAUACGCUCCACUAACGUCUUCGCAAGGGCACAAAGUGUAAUUUCAUGGAAUUGCAUCAAUUCACUUUUGCCUAAAGUAACUAAUAAUCUUGUGUUUUGGAAAGGAUAAUCUUUUAGAAACAAUAAAAAUCGUAUUUUAUAGGUUUAAAACGAAGAUUGUAAUUAUCCUUAAGCAAAACAGCAACAAAAUCCGAAAUUCCCUCUGUCUGACGCUCCGACUCGCCGAGUCACACAUUGGAACUUGCCGAGUAGGGUGGACUCGCCGAGUCAGUUCGAACAGAAGGCCAUAAUUUCAUUUUCAGUUAAUAAUUCAACAUAGCAUCACAUACAACAGAAACCAAUCAAGGCUCUGAUACCACUGAUGGGUUUUAGCCAUAAGAACAUCCUAUGUGCUCAUGCAAACCCUAAUGCUUGGAUCUAGGUUUCUCUAUUGUACAUGCAAUGUAUCCAAGAGUUACAAUCUUAGAUCUAACAUAUUAUAAACUGAAUUAGGGUUUAUAGAAUUACCUUUGAUUGUUAUGUAGCAAUAACAAUCUCAAAUCCUCCAUGUAAUGACUUUAGAAACCUUAGAGUCAGAAGUGUCACUCCUCUAAUAACUUACAAACACCAAAAGCAAGAGGAUGAAGAAUAAGGAGAAGGGAGGCUGCCCAAAAUCGUCCAAAAUCCUAGAGGAACUCAUAGCCACAUUUUUGGGGCUUAAGGGUACUAUAUAUACAUGUAGGCUAUUAGGGUUUUAAACUAGGAAACCCUAAUCUGACUGCUUAAGCCCUAAACAGCCCAUAGAUUCCUUUGGAAUAUCCAUUGGACGAUUUCUAAUGGGCUUCCCCAUAGAAUUCGUCCAACUUAUAUCUUAUAGCCCAAAUGCAAUUAUCAUAUAAUUACAGUUCUAGUCUCUUAAGUUUAAUUAAUCUCUUUUAGCCACAUAAUUAAUUAUCAAUUAAUUCUUGACUAAUAUUAAUUAAACAAUAUGAUUUCUCCUUUAAUAUAUUAUUAUCAUAAUAUAUUAAUAAAUCAUAAUUAAUCAUCUCUCUCCGUAAUUCAUCCUAUCAAGUUGUUAGUGAAGGCAACCCAAAAGGACCAUGCACCAUCGGGUCAAGUACAUACCAAAAUAGUUAUGGACUUAGACACUAAUCCAACAAUAACAUUGUAGCAUAUAAUCCUAAUUGAUAUCAUCAAACCAAAUAAUUAUCACGAAUACCAUUAUCUCCACUAUGUCUGUUACUAGUGGGCCGGCUUUGGUGCCUUAGACCCACUUCUACUGGAAGGUAACUCACCUCGAUGUCGUAAAGUGUCUGAACUUUCCUGGCUGCCGAAAUCAACCCCUCUCAGGUCCUAUUCAUAAUAAUCUUCCUUAAUUACCAUUUCUUGGUCAACUCAAGUCAAAGACAAAGACAAGGUCAACACCUUGGUUAAAGUCAACUCUAGGUCAAAGUCAACGUCCAGUUGAGUCAACUCGAUGAGUUGCCCCACAACUCAUCGAGUUCUGAAAUCGUGAAAAUGCCAAGACUUCGACCCUACUCGUCGAGCCUUACGAGAAAUUGUUGAGUUCUCCUUUAAACAAAGUUGGGACCUUCUACGAUCUGACUCGCCGAGUUCAUCCUUGAACUUGCCAUGUUCAUCGUCAUAUGGUUAGGAGAUUACCUUGAACUCGCCAAGCUCAUCCUGGAACUCGUCGAGUACAUUGAUCUUCAGGUUCCUUACAAACCCAGAUGCCCGAGUCUUCUUCCGAGUCAACACACCACUCGAUAUCAGAAGGGUUUGGGGUAAAAUAAGACUCGACUCACCGAGUCCGAAAAGCAACUCGCUGAGUCCCUCUAUGUCCAAAACUAUACAGUCAGUUUCAGAUGGUUUAAAAGCACCCAAAACACAGAUCUGACCUCCUAGGGUCCAUAUUACACCCAAAACACCCCUCUCAGGUCCUAUUCAUAAUAAUCUUGCUUUGUAAUUGAAGUGUGAGAGGUCCUAUGGGGAUAUGGUACCUAGAUCUGGACCUUAGCAGGUCCAGAGAGUCCCAAAUGCCAUGCUUUAUGACCUUCCUUUUGGGUUGGAGACUAGGGUUGCCAUCUUAGAGGUCAUUUCUUCAAAAAGAGCCUUGUAGGUGUUACAUGGUAGCCAAGACUGUGACUUUACGUGAUGAAUGAGCUUAGGAGGGCAAAAUCUAUGAGUUGAUGGAGCGGAUCUGACCUCAGAAGCGAGAUUGAGUUGAUGAAUAGCAUGGACUCGCCGAGUCCGAAGAACAGACUCGGCGAGUAGUGUGAAGAUUGUCCUUAACCACUCAGCGAGUGGUCCAGCCGAGUUCUGGGUUGACUCGGUGAGUUAGGGAGAGUUAGAGAGGGUUGACAGGUGGACUGAGUCGAGCUGGAACUCGCCGAGUUGUUCCUGAGACUCGGCGAGUUGAGUCGUGGUGGCCCCACGAUUCAUGCCAGGUGGAACUCGUCGAGUCAGGGGAGUACUCGACGUGUCAAGAGAGGAUCCUAGGGAGUCAGUGAACACGUAUAGACUCGCCGAGUCGCCCUAGUGCACUCNGUGUUGAUUCGAUAAGGGUAGUCAACCUUAGUGGUAAAAGUGUUAAUUAGAGAUAUAUGAUGUUAUAGGAGGAUUAUAGCUCGGAGGAUCGAGCACGAGUGAUUUCCAGGAUUCGCGAGUUAUCGAGAUAUACGAGGUGAGUCUUCUCACUAUACUUUACCUUGAGUAGGUAAUCAGAGUUAUGUGACAGAGUAUGUGUAUGUUAUAUGUAUGUUAUGUGUUGUACUGCAUGAUGUCUAUGUGAUUUAUGCUGUGCAUGCUUAUAGAGUUGGAACCGGAAGGUUCCCAGAGUUAGAACCAGUGGGUUCACAGAGUAGGGUCUACGGAUCCACAGAGUUAUAGCCUCGAGUGGCUAAUAUGUGUUAUGUGUGGUAUUUUGGGGAAGUCACUAAGCUUCGUGCUUACAAUGUUAGUGUUGUUUAUUUCAGGUAUUAGUGACGACCGUGGGAAGGCGCCAGCUUGAUCUGUACAAACGCAUGAGAUUUUUAUGAUAUGUGAUCUUGGGAUUUUGUAUGAUGUGAAUUAGAGUUUUGAACUUGAUGUUUUAUGAAAAUUAAAUGAAUUUUUUUUUUAUAUUUUGCGAAAAAUUAUUUUGAAAUUCACGGUGUUACAAAAGCCGUUGUCGAACUCUGGCCUAGUCAAUGACGCGUCCAUUAGAUAAAGGAUCAUAUAUGCCUCCAUUCUUGAUAUCGUAUGAACUGAGACAUGGAUUCUAAUCAUUAUCUCUGUUCAUGUGUUGUUUCCCGAUUUCUGAUUUAUGACGACCGACUAAUUGAACAAAUCAAAUCAGUCCAGGAUUAGCCAAACGGUUAGGGUUGUCAUCACUAAAUCAUUGAGGNNNNNNNNNNNNNNNNNNNAUAUAUAUAUAUAUAUACUAGUAGGGUACCCGCGCGAUGCGGCGAUGCAAGAUAGUUCCUUACGACAAAUUGUUUUAUGCGGCGGUUGGUUUCAUUUUCAUGUAGAUAGUUGGUUUCAGCCUUUUAGCGGAUUGUUUUGUGUGGGAUAGUUAAUUUCGGCAAAUAGUUUCUAGCUAGGUACGUGUAGACAUAGGAGCAUGAUAGUUUCUAAUGCGACGUGGUUUUUAUUUUACGAUUAAAUUAAAUUUAAAAUGUAUGUAGCGGUCUUCAAUGCGGGAUCGAUGAAUAGGUUCGAAUGUCAAUUAGUUUCAUUUAUUAAAUAAUGAAUAGUUUAUUUUUAAAUGUAUUUUUCUUUUCGACGAUUGAUUUUUUUGUAGUUAUUAAUUUUUAUUAUGGAAAUUGGUUUUAUUUGGUGAUUGGUUUGGAUUCGAUAGACAACUAAAAGUUUCUUUCGGCAAGUGUGGCAUUCAAAAGAUAUGCAAUGCAAUAAUAAAUAUAUUUUACCUUUCAAUGAAACACACUAUUUUACAAGUUUUUUUUACGUUGAUUAAAAAAUCUUAUUUUAUUUAUUUUCAUUUUUUAAACCACAUAACAAACAUAUUUUAAUGUAGAUUGAAAGGUAGAUUGUGUCUUGAUUCCAAAAAAUAUCAAAAUAAAUCAAAUUAAACUUUUUCAAAUGUUUUUUAAUAUUUGAAUACAUAAUUAAAUAUAGAAAACGUAAAUUUCCAUCUAAUCAUUAUAUAACUAAUUUUUAGCUUUAUUAUAAAAGAAUUCUAAUCAUAUUAUCAUAAAAUAUAUAUUUUCAUAUUUGAUUCUUGUCUGUAAGAAUCAUAUUACAUGAUUUUGAUAAUUGUUUAAAAAGUAUUAUUGAACUAUCUAUAUGAAAAUUUAUUAAUAACCAAGUAAACAAAUAUUAUUUUCAUAUUUUUAUCAGAAAUUAUUGCCUAAGAUUGUCUACAACAUUGAUGGUUCGUUUAAUUUGGAACAGAAAAUGAAAAGUAAUUAAAUACAUGAAUACAUGAAAAUUUCAAAGAACGAUUUUCAUAAUUUUAUAAUAUAAUUUGAGUUUAACAUGUGAUUUAUAUAAUAUUGAAAUCUAAACUACCUUCAUGUAUUCUAAAAACAUUGUACAAAAGUAGUUAGAGAAGUUAGCCAUGAAAAAUAAAUAUGAUGCUUUGUGGAUAGGCAUAACCGGUCAUCACCAAAGCUCAUAUGGAGCAUGAAGUAGCCUCUAUUUUAGUACAAACUCAAAAGUAGAACAACAUUGUAUGAACAACGGAAAAAAGAAAUUACUGACAUAUGCAUACAUAGAAACCAAACAAAAGGGAACCUCACAUAUCACUUUGAUGCGAGUAAUUUCUUAUGUCAGAAGUAAACCAACACUGUAUUUCUUGUCCAUUUUAUUAGUUUAAUAAAAAUAAGUAAUUGAUAGUGAAAUAUAUUAUUAAAAGAAAACGUUGUAAAUGAACAUUUCUUACAGAAAAAUAAUCACUACCACCAACUUUCUUAUUCUCAACUCAGGUACAUUCGGAAUUGGGUUCAUAUAAAAGCAUAAGUUUAAAUGGAACUGAACAAAAUUUAUGUUUGUAAUAAAAUGAAAACAGGGGUGCACAGAUACAUAAGCUAUAAUCAAAAGGAAUCACAAUGAAUCAUAAAUCAGUUGCAUUAUUUAAUCUCAAAGAAAUUUGUUUCACAUCAUUAAUUAUAGGUCAACCGAGUCAUGAGCUGUCAAACAACACAAUAAGUAAAUUAAUAUAGUAGACCUCAGUAGACAUGUAUAAGCAUAAAAUUACAUUCCAAGACUUGGGUUGACUUUAUAUUAGGUUGACCAUUCUCUUUUGCAUACCCUCCACCUCCAUUACCUACAAAUCGAGUAAAAGAGAAAAGUCAAAUUCAAAUAUAAACACAUGUGUGCACUCUUCAAUCAAACCAACUUUUGAAAGAGACUGUUUUUAUAGUCAAUUAUCAGUUUCCAUCAUAGGAAUUGUAAUGUAGUCCAUUGGAAGAGCAUGCAAAUAAGAACAUUGUGGUUGAAUGUUGUGUUACAUGCAUAAGGAGGUGGUGUUUGUUGUCAAUGAUAAUGGAAGGUGGCAGAAUGUAUGGUCCUUCACAACUAUUAAAACUCUUCCACUUCACAAUCCAACCACCUUACAACCCUUACACUUUACCCCUUCCAUCAUCUUCAGUCCAAGAACAACUGCAAACCGAGGGGGAUUCACCUGCCAUCAAUCUUCAAUGUUAUUAAGAUCUUUAGCAAAAAAACACCCAUUCUUCAAAAUUUAAGACAAACUAAACCAAUUUAGAAUACACAACCCAUAUGUAUAAUUUAUGAAAAUGACUGUUUCGCCCUUUUCCCAGUUCAUCUUGUUAUUCAACAAACAACAAAUUCAAAUUUAAUUGCAUUCAAAACUUCUUGCUUCAAUGACCAUUUCUAGCUACGAAAUAUUAAAAUAUGGAUCUGUAGCUAAAUCAUAACAACUUACAUAUAUAUAUAUAUAUNGAUAAACUCACCAACACCUGCAACAAACCUUGAGAGGCACUACAUCAAACUUACUUGUAAGUUGCAUAUGAGAUUAAGGCCCUUCGUCAAUUAUCAGUUUCCAUUCAACUGGAAAACAAUAUCAGUUUCAUAACUAAUAAAUGAGUAGGAAAUGAAUAUAAAAGAAAUUACUUAAAUGGAAAACCAGUGUAAGCAACUAUGAGAUAAAUAUUAACCAGGAAUGUCAUUGAACUGGUGUGCAACACCAGAUGAGAAGAGUGAUAUUACAAACAUUAGGGGCAUGUCCGGAUCAAGGGUAAAUUCGUCAACAAAGGCAAAACUUCCCCUCGACAAAGGUAGGAACUAACCUAACCAUCAAGAGCUUUAUACACUUCACUAUUACCAAACUCCAAAUGCAGUAAGUAAUAAGCAGCUUCAAUAUUUACUACCUACCAGCAUCAGGGGCAAAUUUGUCCAAAAUGACCGAUUGAAGGAUUAAUUAACAACCCAGUAAAUACAACACCAAACUCUAACUGUUUUACAUUCACACCUAGAUGGACCAUCAAUGAAUGAAAAAUCAUCCUAAACUCUUUUUAAUCUGUAUGAGAUAAUUAAAUAUAUAGAAACAUUAAAAUAUAGAGUACAAUUAAUGCAACCCCAACAUUUUCCUUUUGACUUUAGAUGGUCUCAUAAAUUAAGAAAUCAACUUACCCAUUGAAUCUUGUACAUUAAAUGACUUGAAUUCCUCAAAUUUACAUAUAAAAAAUCAAUAUUAAAACCUACAACCAAGCCAAACUAUGAAAAAAUUACUGAAAACUUAAAUAGUUAAUCACCUUCAGGAACUCUAAACAUACACCUUUUAUGAGCAUUUAUUUCAUUCUUUUAUUUUUAUUAGGUUUAUAUGGCACCAACACCCUAACCUACACAACCCCAAAGACAAUCUUUUUAUUUGUAACAAGGAUCAAAACUUUGAAUAAGCUUAAAAAGAAUAACUUAAAUAGCAAGAUAGUUCUUUUUGGGAGUAAAACCAUAAAGAUAACGCUUUAAGUAAACGAUAUGUCAAUCCUGGUGAGGGGGAAAAUAUGUAGGUCUCAUGAACAAAAAGUAUGUAACCUACAAAAAAACAACAAAUAUCAUAUAAAAUUCUACAACACCAUCAAUUUAGGAUGCAAUGAUGUGUGUGUGUGUGUGAAUUGAAUUAAAUCAGCAACCACACACCCAUUCAAACCAUGGAGAGUAAACCUUUGAGUUAGCAACAAGUCUUUUUAUUACCAUGAGGGGUAUAGUCAAAGAAAAUCCAAGAAGAAUAGAUGAUUUUCUGCAAACAUUUGUAAACCAUUAAUGAUAUAUUGAAUGUAAAUGAAAAUAAAGAAUUUAUCAAUAAUGACUAUAUCUGAAGAAUAUAUAGAUAGAAACAGACCCUUACCAAUGCUCAUCAAGAAACAUAUUCCCUUGAAGUUUCUAAACCGAGACAGGAUUGAAUCUAAGGCUGAGAGUUGAAGCACAAAAACUAAGAAAAACCGGGAAUUGAUUAAACAAAAUUAAAAUGGAAAAAAGUCAUAAGAUCGAAUACAAGAUUGAGAAAUGAAGCAAAAAAGAGAGAUUCAAAUCUGAGACUGAGAAUUGAAGCACAAAGAUGGGUGUGAGUUUAGAUACGGGAUAGGAAAACAAAGAAAUCCAAACCUUUACUCAUAGAACCCAUAACUCGUUCUCCUUCAAAGUUACUCUUCUACUGAAACUAAAAAUCAAAAUCAAGUUUUAUUGGAAGGAGAAAGUAUAAAUCCAUAAGAUUUGGUUGUGAUGUAACAGAUAGUCAAGAUUUAUGUGUAAUAAAUGUACAUAGAAGCUUACAUGGUUCUUCUUAUGGUAGCAACGAUUGAAGAUGGUAGCAGACAGAGGGGAUGUAAGUGUACCUGACAAUUAGUGGUGCAAGGGCGGAGAGUGGGUGGUGGUGGCGGAGAAACAAACAGGUACACCGUUUCGUGGUGGUAGUUUAUUCUUCAUUGUUGGGGAAGUGGAUGGAGAAGGUCUAGGGUUUAGAAAGAAAGGGGCGUAAAAAGAUGAGGAGCGUGUUUGGGUUUCUUUUGGGGACGUUAAUAUUAAGCUAAAAAGGAUUGUACAUUAUGUAAUAAUAUUUGUACCUCUUAACUUUCAAGAAAUGUCCAAUAUGCUUUAUAAUAUAGUAAAGAUAUAUAUAUAUAUAUANNNNNNNNNNNNNNNNNNNNNNNNNNAUAUAUAUAUAUAUAUAUAUAUAUAUCACAUUUAUCCCUCUAAGGGUAAAAGGAAUGGAUAAACUUCGACUCAUAUGCUAGCUCUACGUACUCAUCAAAUCACACACAAUAAUAUGUUUUAUAACACCAAGUUACUGGUGCAUUUAGAUAUUACCAAUGUGCAUCCGAUUUGUAAACUGCAACUAUAUGUUUCCGUUUCAAGAAUAUAAGAUAUUAUCGUCUCACUAAUCACUCAUCAUAAAAUCCAUGAAGUGAUUCAGAUGAGCGUGGGUUUAAUCCAAUACUCAAAUCUUAUUACAGGAGUACUCAUGAACACUGCAGCAAACUUGUGGUAUGUGUAAAAUACCUAGACAGUCUACAGGCAGAUUCAUGAUAGUCUUACCUCAAUACCUACUUCCAAAGUAUGAUCGAUUGUGGAUAGCUUGAAUAAUCUUAUUAUUCGUGAUGUAAAAAAAUGCAAAGUGAAACACAAGAUUAAUCGAAUUCGAUAUGGUCUCAAAACCUUUGAAAUAUAAAUAAAACACCUUUUAUUUAAUCACCAUGUUGAUUACACAUUAUUCAUUGGAUAAUAUUCCGAGUAAUAAACUUAAUAUUUAAAUUAAAACAAUAGUUAUGCCAUGCUCCAAGCAUGGACACUAUGUGUAACAGCCCGGAUUUCCAGGUAUCUUUUAUGCUUAUGUUUUUGGUGUUUUGUGAGGGGACUCGGCGAGUUGGAGCUCAGACUCGCCGAGUAGGAUCACGGUUCUGGACGCGGGUUCGCGCCUGGACUCGGCGAGUCCAAGGUAUGGACUCGGCGAGUCCGUGCUGUUUAAUGAAACCCUAAUUUGUCGGGUUUGGGACCUAUUUAAAGGGCCUUAAGGGCGUCAUUUGUGCUCACCAGACCCCUGAGUGAAACCCUAGCGAGUUUGAGCGUUUGGAGCAAAGUAAGGAGCCAUUAUUGUCCUUGGAGGUUUUAUAUUGCAAGGGAAAGGAAGCAAUAGCUAAGGGGAAUCAAGAGGAGCCACUUCCUGAAAGAUUUGAGGCCAGAACAUCACAUUUGAGGUACUACUUUCGAGCUAUUCUCUGUUAUGUUGAUGUCUAUGUUGAUUUAGGGAUUAUUGAGCCCUUUUGUGGUUAGAUCUAGUGCUUCCUUGGUCCCUUAAGUGAGUUAGGUUAUAGAUCUGGACCUUUGGAGGUCCAGAGUGUCCCUUUUCCCAAGCUUUUAUGAAUCCGUGAGGGUUUUGGAUUGGGGUCUUGGUGCUUAAGGUCAAAACACCAUUUAUGAGUCAUGGGGUGUGUUAUGAGCACCAAGUUAUGGAAUUUACGUGAUGAAUUAGCUUAGGAGGGCCAGAUCUAUGAGUUGUUGGAGCGGAUCUGACCUCAGAAGCAAGUUUGAGUUGAUGCAUGGCAUGGACUCGCCGAGUCUGAAGAACAGACUCGGCGAGUAGCAUGAAGAUUGUCCUUGACCACUCAGUGAGUGGUCCAGCCGAGUUAUGAGUUGACUCAGUGAGUCAGGGAGAGUUAGAGAGGGUUGACAGGUGGACUGAGUCGAACUGGAACUCGCCGAGUUGUUCUUGAGACUCGGCGAGUUGAGUCGGGGUGGCCCCGCGAUUCAUACCAGGUGGAACUCGUCGAGUCAGGGGAAUACUCGACGUGUCAAAAAGGGAAUCCUAGAGAGUUGGUGAAAACGCUUAGACUCGCCGAGUCGCCCUAAUGCACUCGCCGAGUCCGGUCAAAGUUGACCGUUGACCGUUGACCAGAGUUGACCAGUGUUGACUUGAUAGGGGUAGUCAGCCUUACUGGUAAAAGUGUUAAUUAAGAGACAUAUGAUGUUAUAGGAGGAUUAUAGCUCGGAGGAUCGAGCACGAGUGAUUCCAGGAUUCGCGAGAUAUCGAGAUAGGCGAGGUGAGUCUUCUCACUAUACUUUACCUUGAGUAGGUAACCAGAGUUACGAUAACAUAGUAUUUGUAUGCUAUAUGUAUGUGUUGUGUUGUACAGCAUUAUUUCUAUGUGAUUUAUGCUGUGCAUGUUUUAGAGUUGGAACCGGAAGGUUCACAGAGUUAGAACCUGAGGGUUCACAGAGUUUGGGUGCACGGACCCAUGGAGUUAUAGCCUCGAGUGGCUAUUAUGUGUUAUGUGUAUGGUAUUUUGGAGAACUCACUAAGCUUUGUGCUUACAGUGUUAGUGUUGUUGUUUCAGGUACUAGCGAGGACCGUGGGAAGGGGCCGGCUUGAUCUGUACACACGCAUGGGAUUUUGAUAUAUAUAUGAUCUUGGGAUUUUGUAUGAUGUGAUUUGGGAUUUUAAAACUUAAUGUUUUUAUGAAAUUAAAUGAGAAAUAUUUUUAUAAUUUGUGAAAAAUUAUUUUGAAAUUCACGGUGUUACACUAUGUUUUGCCUAUGGUCCUUUCUUUGUGAAAUAGAUCAAUUGAAAACAUUUUAAUGACGCUCAUUUCAUAAUUCCGAAUCUUUGUCCCCAGUAUAAGAAUACCAAAUUCUUGCCACUAUAAGAAUAUGUUAGGUUCUAACGUUUAUGCAAUGUAACUUUUGUAAUGUCGGGGAACCAAAGUUAUAGAGACUUUGCCAACGAUAUUACAAAACUUUCCACUGGAGAUUGAGCAAUUCCAUGGAAUUGAAGCCUCACAUUGAAAGUACAUUCCUUUGAGCAUCCUUCUUUCACAAAACUUUCUAACUUACACACCAACCCCCAUUUAUGGAAACAUUUCCAUAUUUGCCAUAUGACAACACAUUAUUUAUAGAAUCUUGUCUAUUCAUAAUAAUGUUAAUAUGGUCCAUUCAAUACUAUACUUCCAACUGCCCAUAAGCGACCGAUCCUUGGCGAACCUUAGAUUGUCCUUGACAGCUGUUUAACCACUAUAGUCAUAUCCGGUUCUAGUCCCUUUUUUUCAUCUUAAUGCCCUAGGAAUUUUGGAAAUUUAGAAAACUCGAAUACUACAACAUAUGUAAUCGAUCCUAUACCCAAAGCAUAUUAGACAUGAUUCAUAAUGUCUUACAUAAAGACAUGAUACUCAAUCAGUAUUUUCCAUAUAUAAUUCCCAUGUUGAAGCACUUCAACAUGAAAUUUAUAUAUACCCAUGACUAGGUUUUAUUAAUACAUCAAUCUAAGAUUUUAGAUUCGAAAUAAAGUAUAAGUAUCCUCUCCCUUACUAUAUUGAAACAACGUUUUCAAUUCUGCAACUUUGCAAACUUGUAACCUUUGUUUCUUAUAACCGUUAUUCUUAACUUGCAACACUUCACAUAAUUAUCAUGUUCCCACUAUCAUGAUAGUUAUAUUCUGACCAGCAUAACACUUAUGCUCCCACUAGCUUUGACAUGUACUUAGAAAUCAGGUGGACUUCUAGAAUCAAUACUUAUUGAAUUUCUUUCCAAAGUUCAUAUUUGUGAUACGAGAUGCUUAUAUAAGCCUUUAUCUAAGCUCAUACACAUUUUAUUAGAAAGCUCAUAUGUAUGUCUAAACUAUUUCAGAACUUACAUCAAUAAGUCCCGAAUGUUCAAACUAUUUGCCACUUCUCAUAAUUCGAACUAUGAAGAGAGAUGUCAUAAUCAUAAUUGAAUUUGAGAACGCAAUUAACACAACUGGUAUCUCCUAAAAAUCUUCUUAGUGAAAGCGUUUCCUCACAAUCAUUUUCAUGAAUUAGAGAGAAACCUUAUGCCACUUAGAUUUUAUGGUGUAUGUGUUCCUAUCCAUGUGAAACUGUCAUUUCCAACCAUUAUGUUUAUAUAAGGUCUAUGGAAAAUUCAAACACAUAUGGAAUGAACUUGUUUAAUUAUAAUAUAGCAAACCAAUUUUCACUUCCAAAAAUUUCAUCUUUAAUUAAUGGAUUUGAAAAACAUUUGUAAGUAAACAAUGUCAAAUCACGUCAUCUCAUAAAACAAUGUAUCAUGUCUGAAAACCCAAAUCCAGAAAAUAGUAUCUUGUCAGAGUACAAUCCCAGAAUAUCUAAUAGUGCGGAAGACAAUGAGCGUGUGUAUGAUGUGUAGCUCCCACGCCAGCUCCUUCCCCUUCGCUAAAGUGGUAUCUGAAACCAAAACUAUAAAUCGAAAGCACGAAGCUUAGUGAGUUCCCCCAUCGUACAACAUACCAUACAAUCAUAUCGCAUGCAUACUGCCGGGCAAUUCCGGGGGUGCCCGACCUACCCAGUACGACCAUUCUACGGUGCCGACUUACCCGGUACGACCAUUCUCGGGUGACGACCUGCCCGUGUCAAGCCAUUCUGGGGUGCUAACCUACCCGUGUCAAGCCAUUCUGGGGUGCUAAACUUCCCGUCGGUCCUAACAACCGAAUCAUCGGGGACUAUUCCACCCCUUACUGCUACUAUCACAUAUAUCAUAACAUAAACAUACUAUCAGACAUAUCUGGGGUGUCCGAACUACCCUUCGGUCCUAACAACCGAACAUGGGGACUAUUCCUCCUCCUACUACCACUAUCACAUAUAGCAUAUCAUGCCGGCAUAUAAAACAUAUCAUAACAGACUGUCAGACAUAUCUGUGGGUGCCUGAACUACCCUUCGAUCCUAACAACCGAACUCUACUACUAUCACUUAUAACAUAUCAUGCCAACAUAUAACAUAGCAGGUAGUAGCAAACCUAGAUGAAUAUCACAAAGACAAUCAUCUAACAUAAAACCCCUACUGGUGGGUCGGCAUUGUGGCCGUAGAGCCACCGCUACUGAAAGGUAACUCACCUCGUAAGGCUGACUCCUGAAAAGCUGAUCUGCGGAUGUCUGACUACUGCUUUGGUGGUUCUCCGGCAACAAUACCCAUAAACACUUAGUCAGACAUUGAUAACUACUCUUAGGGUAAAAUGACAGUUUUACCCUUGACCAUGUCAAAGUCAAAGUCAGAGUCAACAUCAACUUUCAGUUCACCUGACUCGCUGAGUUGGGCCGCAAAGUCGUCGAUUCCUAUCCUUUCAACUUCCCUUAUCCACGCCUCUACUCUUCGAUUUUAGCAAUGAGUCGACGAGUUCUCUUUCUUUAUGAACCUUAAAUGAUCCUUCAUCCGACUCGUCGAGUUGUAUGAACAACUCGAUGUGUUCAACUUCAACUCUUGAACAAGUCCUGACCUUGACUCGCCGAGUUGUAUGAACAACUCGUCGAGUUCAUCUUCAAUUGUUGGGAGAUUGCCUUGGACUCGCCGAGUCUACUCAUGCACUCGUCGAGUCCUAUGAACUCCAGGUCUAUGGCUAAGUCCCAUUCGUUGGGUCACUACCCAGACCCCUCAAAGACCAUUCUAUCACUCAUUGGGUUCCUUUAAACUCUAACAGAAAAAGGGAGUCAAGCCAUGGACUCGCCGAGUCGAUAAUGUCCAAGUCUCAUUUAUCCAUUACUAGUGUACAACACUUGUCCAAAUGAUAGAUCUAGGCUCGUAAGAUCGAUCUAGCACGUAAAGUUAUGAACUUUACAUGCAUGCAUGGGACUAUGAGCUAAAAAGACCGUAAAAGAAGCUCUUAAGUUGCAUGGGGCUUUCCAUGGGUGCAAAGACAGUCCCUUUCUGCCUUCUAUCCCCUUAAUGAUUCUAGAUAUAAAACCUUAACCCCCACCAUGCUUGCAAUCAUGGUUGGUCACCAAGAAUGGCUUAUAAAAGCCCUAGAUCUCCCAAAAAAGGGAUCUAAUACAAGAAGGAUCAAGGUGUCGGCUUUGUACCUUCCAAGAACUAUAGAUGAUGCACAAGAUUGACUCAUCUGGCCAACCUCUUGGUUCCUAAAUCUUUUCCUUCCUUCUUGCCACCACAAAAAACCAAAAAUCACUAAAAGGCCUUUAGAUCUUCACAACACGAUUAGGGUUUUAUUUUGAGUGUUCUAGGAGGAUACAGGGGCGAUAGAGAACCCUCAGAUUAGGGUUUUGCCUAGCUAGAGUCUACUCGUCGAGUCUUGCCGCCGACUCGACGAGUCCGCCACUUUACCCCAGGGUCCAAACCGCUACUACUCGAUGAGUUAGGCCAUCAACUCGCCGAGUCUCGGUCCAAAUUGCGAAAAAUACUUGAAUGAAAUACAUACUAGGAACCAUUUGCUACAAUUCUCCCCCACUUAUUUUAGACUUCGUCCUUGAAUUCUGCUGCUCGUUUCUAGAAAAGCUCUGGGUAAUGCUGAAUCAUCUCAUCCACCGGCUCCCACGUCCAUUCUGAACCCUUCCGAUGCUGCCAUUGCACCUUCACCAGCUCGACCCUCUUGUUCCUCAGAUCUUUUGACUUUUAGUCAAGGAUCGCCAUAGGCCGCUCAAUGUAAUUCAGGCUAUCAUCAAACUGAAUAUCCUCCAAGGGCAUUACUGCCGAGUCAUCUGCUAGGCACAUCCACAACUGGGAGACAUGCAAAGUGCUGCAGAUCUGACUGAGCUCGACUGCCAGGUCCAGCCGGUACGCCACCUUGCCCACCCGAGCUAUAACCCUGAAAGGUCCAAUGUACCUAGGGCCUAACUUUCCCAGCUUCCUGAGUCAGACGACGCCUUUCCUAGUUGACACUUUCAGGAGAACCAUAUCCUCGACCUGGAACUCUAGGUCUGAAUGGUGCUUGUCGGUAUAGCUUUUCUGCUGAUUCUGCGCAGUUUGGAUCCUGCUCCUGACCUGCUGAAUCCUCUCUGUCGUCUUGAGCACCACUUCGGUGCUCCCCAUGACCCUCUGACCAACCUCACCCUAACAUAUCGGGGUCCUGCACUUUUUCCCGUACAACAUCUCAAAGGGAGGACGAUCGAUACUCGAGUGGUAGCUGUUAUUGUAGGAGAAUUCAGCCACUGGGAGGUAAGCAUCCCAGCUACCACCGAAAUCUAGCACACACGCUCACAACAUAUCCUCUAAAGUCUGAAUGGUCCGCUCGCUCUGACCAUCUGUCUGCAGGUGAAAUGCGGUGCUAAAGUGCUGACGAGUACCCAUCUCGUCAUGGAAUUUCUUCCAGAAUCUGGAAGUAAACCGCACAUCUCUAUCGGAAAUCACGGGGACUGGCACUCCAUGCCAAGCCACAACUUCUCUAAUGUAAAUGUCGGCCAACUUCUCGGCCGAUAUACUCUUCUGGAUCGGUAUAAAAUGGGCGCUCUUGGUCAACUGAUCCACAAUGUCCCAUAUGGAAUCCACUCUCGCACGGUCCUGGGAAGUUUGGUAAUGAAGUCCAUGGUAAUAUCUUCCCACUUUCACAGGGGAAUAUCCAACAGUUGCAUCUUGUCGUGUGGCCUCUAGUGCUCGGCCUUGACCUUCCUGCAGGCCAAGCACUGCUCCACAUACCAUGCUACAUCCCACUUCAUGCAGGGCCACCAGUAGUCAAGACAAAGAUCUCCAUACAUAUUCGUCGCUCCGGGAUGGACAAAAAACCUUGAUUUCUGCGUCUGCUCCAUCAAUAUCUGGCGCACGCCUCCAUGAUAGGGGACCCACACCCUAAGGUGAAGAUUCAUUAACCCUCGACUAUCAUAGUCAUAGGAGGAAACCUGACCCACUAUACACUCGCUCUUUUGAUGUUCCUCAUGCAUAGCCUCCUAUUGGGCCUCUCGGUUCUGCUCCAAUAGUGGAGCCACUACUGUCAUCCAGAUGCAUGUGUCUCUGAUCGGCACUGCCUUACGGCUAAGUGCAUCGGCCACUGCAUUGGCCUUCCCCAGGUGGUAUAGGAUCUCACAAUCAUAAUUCAUCACAACAUCUAACCACCGACACCGAUUCAUGUUCAGAUUCGACUGUUCAAUGAGGUAUCUCAGACUGUUAUGGUCCAUGUAGAUGGUACACCGAACCCCAUAGAGGUAAUGACGCCAAAUCUUGACGGAAAAAACAACCGCCCCUAGCUCUAAGUCAUGCAUUGGAUAGUUCGCCUCGUGAGGUUUCGGCUGCCUCAAAUCGUAAGCAAUGACAUGCCCUUUCUGCAUCAAAAUUGUGCCCAAGCCUAAGAUGGACGCGUCGCAGUACACAACAAAAUCCUCCAUGCCCUCUGGCACGGCUUAGAUUGGCGCCUCGGACAUUCUCUGUCUUAAUGUCUCAAAUGCAGCCUGCUACUCAGGCCUCCAGAGAAAGACUACGACCUUUUUCGUUAGCCGAGACAAGGGUACGACUAUCUUGGAGAAAUCCUGGAUGAAUCUACGAUAGUAGCCAGCUAAUCCCAGGAAACUCUGAAUCUCAGAUGGAGAUUUCAAAACAUCCCAUCUCAUCAUGGCCUCCACCUUGGCUGUGCCGACCAGAAUACCGUUCCGGUUGACAAGGUGCCCAAGAAACUGCACCUUGCGCAACCAAAACUCACACUUGGAGAACUUGGCGUACAAGCUCUCCCUCCUCAGGGUAUCCAAAACCUCUCGCAGAUACUCCUCGUGCUCCUCCUGUGUCUUGGAGUAAACCAAGAUAUCGUCGAUGAACACUAGCACGGACCGAUCCAACAUCGGUGUACAUAUGCGGCUCAUGAGAUCCAUGAACGCGACAGGAGCAUUGGUGAGCCCGAAGGGCAUCACCACGAACUCAUAGUGGCCAUAACGCGUACGAAAGGCAGUGUUUUGUACAUCCUCCUCUCUAACCCUCAUCUGAUGAUAACUUUAACACAAAUCAAUCUUGGAGAACCAACAUGCUCCCUGUAACUUGUCAAAGUGGUCAUUAAUCCUAGGGAGUGGGUAACAGUUCUUCACUGUUACCUUAUUUAGCUCCCGAUAAUCUAUACACAUCCGAUGCAACCGGUCCUUCUUCUUCACAAACAGAAUCGGGGCUCUCCAGGGUGAACUGCUCAGUCUAAUGAAUCCGUUGUCUAACAGCUCCUGUAGCUAUGUAGACAACUCUUGUAUCUCAGGAGGAGCCAGCCGAUAUUGUUCCUUGGCUAUCGGAGCAAUCCCAGGGACUAGGUCAAUCCAAAACUCCACCUGCCUCUCCGGAGGUAUCCCGGGAAACUCCUUGGGGAAUACAUCCGCUAACUCUCGCACUCUUGGCACAUCACCCACCGUCGCCCCUCCCGCCUCCUGGAUGUCCAUAACAUAGGCGACGUAUCCUGCGCAACCCUGCUGAAGGUAGCACCUAGCCCUCACUGCCGAACAUAAAGUUGGUCCUAGUUGUGGCGUCUCGCCCUGAAUCACCAGCUCCCCCCACCUCGGGUCAUCAUCCGAACCAACUACUGCGCGCAGUCAAUCACUGCUCCAUUGGGGCUUACCCAAUCCAUACAAAUAAUAACUUUGUCCCCCCUCAACGGUAUGGGAACCAUAUCCACUACAUAACGCUCUCCGAACAACCUCAAAACACAAUCCCAGAAGACCUUUGAUGCUCCUACAGACCAGCAUCAUAUAAAUAAAUCAGAGGGGAAGAAUCAUACUCGUCACCACAUCGGGUGCGACACAUGUCUCCUUGGUAGUCAACUCGAAGGCCCGACUCCUCACCACUGGAGCCUCUGACUUGCCCCGACGGCCAUUAGUAAUUAGCAGGGUCGUUGGGGCGAUUAGCCUUCUUAUGGUCCCUCUGAUUGCAGUGGAAAGACAACAUCUCGGAUGUUUGAAUAGUGGGUAUAGGGGAGGUACAAUCCCUCCUGAAAUGCCCCGUCUUGCCACACUUUUAGCAGCCCGACAAUCCCAACCUACACGCCCCCUCGAGUGGCCUGCCGCAUUUCCUGCAACGACCCUGUCCUGAUUGGCCUUUUGGCCUACCAUCUGAUCCUUUGGGCUUCUUCCCGAAGCCCCAGUCGUCUUCCCCUCCUCUACCUUCCUCUUUCGGAUGUGCUCUAGAUUAUUGUCUCUCUCCCUUGUCCAGGCAAUCAUGGAAUCCAGGGUAGGGCAAGCAGUAAAACUAGCAUGCUCCGGAAUGUCGGCUCACAGCAUGUCAUGGUAGCGGGUCCUCCUCAUGUCCUGAUCUCCUAUAUACUGUGGCACCAGUAAUCCCGUCUCUCGGAACAUGGCGAUGAUCUCCGCCAUAGUCUUUGUAUUCUGUUUCAUAUCCAAAAGCUCCCUGGCCAACUGCUGAAGCUCCACAGCUGGCAGGUCCUCCUCAUGUCCUCAUGGUGGCGGGUCCUCCUCAUGUCCUCAUCUCCCAUUACUGUGGCACCAGUAACCCUAUCUCCUGGAACUUGGAGGUGAUCUCUGACAUAGUCUUUGUAGUUUGUCUCAUAUCCAAAAACUCCGUGGCCAACUGUUGAAGCUCCACAGCUGGCGAAAAGUCACUCCUGAACCGAGUCACAAAGUCCGACCAUGUCAUAACCUCAAUAACCGAGGCUUCCAGAGUGUCACCGACGGACUGCCACCAAUCUCUGCCCUAUCUCUCAAGCACCCUGAUGCAUAUCUCACCUUCGACCUCUCAGGGCAGAAUCUGGUCAACCGUGCAGACUCAAUUUAUGCAAUCCACCGCCUGGCCACAAUGGGGUCCUUCGCCCCAUGGAAAUCCGGUGCACCACUUCCCCUGAAUUCCUUAAAGCACAGUGUGUGAUCCUGUAUGACUGAUCACCAUGUCACUCUUGAACGCCCUGAAGCGAUCCUCCAUCAACUCGAUAGUGCCUUCCUUGAUCGACCCGAAGAUGACCGGGGUCGCACCAAGGAUGCCUCUAGGGAUCUAGGACAUGAUGAACUCACGUAGCCUCUCAUCCACUGGUUCGGAAUCUGAACCCCAAACCGAUCCCUCUCUUGAACUGCCAACUAUUGGCCUCAGACACAACACCACCAUUCUGUAAUACAUAAUGACAACCGUCAGUGAUACUGGUACAUCUAGAGGGAUCACGUCUAUCACAACUUUCCUGGUCUCGUCUAAGCCUUCAUCGACUCAUGUACGGAUCCUCUGCUUUCAGUAGUACGGGCCCAUACUACCUUCCAUAUCUAUCUGUAGUUUCCUCAAGAACUGCCUCGACUCCACCAAGUCCCUUCUACUGCUACUGAUCUCUGCUACUUUAAUCCUAGGCUUGGCCUAGGGUACCUCUAACUCCACCAAAACUAGUCCUCAGCUGGUGAAGGCCUCUUUGCAUUGCCAACUAGCCAGCAUAUGGAUACAAUCACAUGCCACGAGGCUCAGAUAAUCCUUCGUGUAAGGGACUCAUCCUUACAACGGUUAGGAAUCAAACAAAAGCUACGUAAUGGGGUCAAAUCCAACACUCUGAGAUUACUCAACCUUGAUUGCAUGUAACCUAACGUACCCUCCUAAUAGCUAAAUCCCAUCACUCCGAGUCCCACAUAGCACAAAGCAAGCAACAUUCAGACAAAAAGGAAACAAGCUCAAGCAAUUCUAUCCACAUAACAAGAAUCUGUACUAGCAAGCAAUAUAAGUUCAUAUAAUCACACAUAACCUAAACAUCAACACUGUCAUGAAGCUCAAAAGCACAUAUAACAGGCACAUAAGGUAUCUUUCCUAGAUCCUUAGUCCUAAUCUAGCAUGAUGUUCCACUGAAACUGAUAAUCAUAACAUAAACUUGUAUGGGUACUUUGGGGAAAAACCUACUUGAGCUAGGCCAGUCGUGCACAUCACACAUCUUGUUCUUUCUUAAAACUUUUUAACUUAGCUUUUAGAAAACCAUUUUCUUUGUAAAAAUCUUUAAUCCAUUGGUUUGAGUCCAGACAUCCCCGAGGGUGUGUCUGAAUCCCUCAAACCAGGAUCUAAUACGAACGUGUAACAACCCAAUUUUCACGUCCAAAAAUUUCAUUUUACUUAAUGGAUUUGCAAAAAUUUGUAGGUAAAUAAUGUGAAAUCAUGUCAUCUCAUAAAACAAUGUAUCAUGUUUAAAAACCCAAAUCCCGAAAAUAGUAUCUUGUCAGAGUAAAAUCCUAGAAUAUCUCAUAGUGCGGAAGACAAUAAACAUGUGUAUGAGGUGCAGCUAUCGCGCCAGCUCCUUCCCCUUCGCUGAAGUGGUAUCUGAAAUCAAAAACUGGAAACCGUAAGCACGAGGCUUAGUGAGUUCCCCCUUCGCUGAAGAGGUACCACAUACCAUACAAUCAUAUAGCAUAUAUACUGUCGUGCAAUUAUGGGGUGCCCGACCUACCCGGUACGGCCAUUCUGGGGUGCCGACUUACUCGGUACGACCAUUCUUGGGUGCCGACCUACCCGUGCAAGCCAUUCUGGGGUGCUGACCUACCCGUGUCAAGCCAUUCUGGGGUGCUGAACUACCCGUCGGUCCUGACAACCAAAUCAUCGGGGACUAUUCCACCUCCUACUGCUACUAUCACAUACAUCAUAACAUAAGCAUACUAUCAGACAUAUCUGGGGUGUCCAAACUACCCUUCGGUCCUAACAACUGAACUUAAGGACUAUUCCUCCUCCUACUACCACUAUCACAUAUGGCAUAUCAUGCCAGCAUAUAAAAAUAUCAUAACAGACUGUCAGACAUAUCUGGGGGUGCCUGACCUACCCUUUGAUCCUAACAACCGAACUCUACUACUAUCACCUAUAACAUAUCAUGCCAGCAUAUAACAUAGCAGUAGUAGCAAACCUAGAUGAAUAUCACAAAGACAAUCAUCUAACAUAAAACCCCUACUGGUGGGCCGGCAUUUUGGCCGUAGAGCCAGUACUACUGGAAGGUAACUCACCUCGUAAGGGUGACUGCUGAAAAGCUGAUCUGCAGAUGUCUAAUUGUUGCUCCGGUGGUCCUCCGGCUACAAUCCCCAUAAACACUUAGUCAGACACUGAUAACUACUCUUAGGGUAAAAUGAUUGUUUUAUCCCUGACCAUGUCAAAGUCAAAGUCAACUUUCAGUUCACCUGACUCGCCGAGUUGGGCCGCCAACUUGUCGAUUUCCUAUCCUUUCAACUGCCCUUAUCCACACCUUUACUCAUCGAGUUUAGCAAUGACUCGACGAGUUCUCCUUCUUUACGAACCUCGAAUGAUCCUUCAUCCAACUUACCGACUUGUAUGAACAAGUCGUCGAGUUCACCUUCAAAUCUUGAACAUGUCCUGACCUUGACUCCUCGAGUUGUAUGAACGACUCGUCGAGUUCAUCUUCAAUUGUUGGGAGAUUGCCUUGGACUUGCCGAGUCUGCUCAUGCACUCGUCGAGUCCUAUGAAAUCCAGGUCUAUGUCUAAAUCUAAUUCGUUGGGUCACUACCCAGACCCCUCAAAGACCAUUCUAUCACUUAUUGGGUUCCUUAGAACACUAACAACAAAGGGGAAUCAAGCCAUUGACUCGCCAAGUCCCAAGAACGACUCGUCGAGUCGAUAAUGUCCAAGUCUCAUUUCUCCAUUACUGGUGUACAACACUUGUCCAAAUGAUAGAUCUAGGCUCCUAAGAUCGAUCUAGCAUGUAAAGUUAUGAAAUUUAUGUGCAUGAAUGGGACUAUGAGCUAAAAAGACCGUAAAAGAAGCUCUUAAGUUGCAUGGGGCUUUCCAUGGGUGCAAAGGCAGUCCCUUUCUGCCUUCUAACCCCUUAAUGAUCCUGGAUCUGAAACCUUAACCCCCACCAUGCUUGCAAUCAUGGUUGGUCACCAAGAAUGGCUUAUAAAAGUCCUAAAUCUCCUUAAAGAGGGAUCUAAUACAAGAAGGAUCAAUGUUUCGGCCUUGUACCUUCCAAGAACUAUAGAUGAUGCACAAGCUUGACUCAUCUGGCCAACCUCUUGGUUCUUCAAGCUUUUCCUUCCUUCUUGCCACCAUAAACCACCAAGAAUCUCCAAAAGGACUUUAGAUCUUCACAACACGAUUAGGGUUAUGUAUGGAGUGUUCUAGGAGGAUAAAGGGGCGAUGUAGGUUGUAUAAGGUUAUUUAAAUAGGGUGCAAACCCUCAAAUUAGGGUUUUGCCCAGCGAGAGUCUACUCGUCGAGUCUUGCCACCAAAUCGACGAUUCCACCACUUAACGUUCGGGUCCAAACCGCUACUACUCGACGAGUAGGGCCAUCAACUCGCCGAGUCUCAGUAGAAAUUGAUAAAAAUACUUGAAUGAAAUACAUAUCAGGAACUAGGUGCUACACUUAAUUUCUUGCCAGUUGGCAGCACAAGGGCCUACCAUGUCUUCUAAGUCGUUGAGAAGAUCACCCUUACUAAUCAAUGAACUUUCAUUAAACAAGGCGCUUUGCCUUAUGCAAAAAAUUAAGAGCUCAUAGAACUCACAUGCAUAUUCAAAUUUAACUGGAAUUAGCACAGAAACAAGAAUAUGUCAAUAUGAUAGGUUACAAACCUGAAGUCGUAUAUUAAUGAUAAAUGGUAGGUUUUAUUCUUGAUUAGCUCUUGAAGAUUUUCAAUAUCUUUAAGACCCCCACUAACCUCUUGACAUAUAAAAUUCUCUGUCAAGAACUAUUCCUUGACAAACAAAUAUUCAAGAGUUAGUGCGGAUUCUUAUCAAGAAUGACACUUCAUAUAAUUAGUCUUAGUUGCUCUCUGUUUUAGCGAAAACAUCACAACUGCCAUUUUGAAAUAUGCAAAAGUAAGACAAUAUUUCUAUUCCAUAUUUGAUGAUGUGUUAUAAACCUACUUAAGACAUGUCACUCAAGUCAUAAUCUUGGAGAAUGAAUCUAAGACUCAAUUUUGGAACAAAGUAUGACUCACAUUAAUUGAUUUAACCAUUUCAACAAUUCCUGAUUCCUCUUCUUAGCCAUACAAAUGCACUAAGGUGUCCUUAGAGGAUCAAUUGUGAUAUGUUUUCAUAAUCAAUAAGAUGAUCAUAAAACAUGAUACUAAAGUACUCCCCUUUCCUUUCAAAUUGGAGAAACUUUUAUCGUUCUGCCUAAUUGAUUCUUCUUAUUCGUUCUACUAUAAAUUGAAAAUUUUUCAAUGAUUAAGAAUUACACUUAAUCUUGAAACUAUAACCAUAUUUACUAACUUUAGUAAAUAGUGACAAAUAAUGUUAUCGUUCUUUGUGGUGGACUUACACCAGUACAAAACAAUUUAUACUAGAUUUCCUAGCCUUUCACUUGACUCACAUAUGUGUGUGAACAAAGAAUUAGCGUUAGUUUCCCAAAGAUGAAAGUUCUCAUUGAUCAUGCAAUACAAGUUGAAUGAUUCCAAGUUUCUGUCCAACUGAAACUUGGUGAUGAGAAACUUUCCUUAUUUGGUAAAUUUAGACACUACCACAAACAAAAGAAUCAAAUCCAUAUUGCUAAAAAAAUAGAAACAUACAAAAAUCAAUUGUCACAAAUGCAAUUGCAAGGAUAUAUAAGACAAGAUAAAAUCAAAAUUUUAUUUAUUUAUAAAAUGCGGAAAUCUUUUCCUUACAAUGCAUUUACAAAUGAAAACUAUGUUACUACAUAUUUAUAAGUAAUGUAGCAUAACUCCUAAGUGGCAGCUCAAAAAUCUAAUCAUCAAAUCAGGCGAUCAAAAACCAUCUCUUCACGAUCAGAUUCAGUUUACUCCUCCUUUAAGCUUCUUUUAUUUUCUUCGAUCCUACAAUCUAGAAAUAGGAACUUAAUAGUGUUAGAUAGUGUACUUACCUGAAGCAGAGUCAAACAUUUCGACUUUAACAUCAUUGUGAUCCUUUAGGUAAAUACUGCAGCUUCGCAUCCAAUGCCACUUCUAUUGGAAGUAGAAGGAAAUAGAUUCUUUUGCAAAGGCACACGGGAUAAUCUCAGAAUUAGUCUUUCUCUUUAACAUUAGGUCAAAGGACUUGACAAUGGCCGAUACCUUUCCAUUGGGAAGAGAAGACUUUUUUGGACUUCCAAUGUUUCCAUUGUCAAUGUCCAUGGAAGUUUGGGCGGUAGAUCUUGUUGGAAUAGUGUCUAAGGCUGCAACUAUAUUAGGCAAGUAUUUGACCCGAUUGUGCAUGGUCCUUUUGGGUUGCCUUCACCAUAGCAACUUGACAGGAUGAUUUAUUAUGAGAGAAUAAAUAUUAUUAAUAUAUUAUGAGAAUAAUAGAAGGAGUAAUAAUAUUGUUAUUUGAUUAAUAUAAGUCAUAAAUUAAUUAGAAUUAAUUUGGUGACUUAAAGAGAUUAAUUAAAUAAGAGGGUAUAAACUGUCAAUUGUUUGAUAGUUACACUUUGGGCUGUAAAUCCUUCUUGGAUAGGGUUGGACGAUUUCUAGGGCUUGGGAUAAGCCACAAAUCGUCCAAGGGCUUAUCUUGGAAAGGAUUUGGAUUGCUUUGAGUAAAGAUUAUCCAACUAGGGUUUAAGGGUGAAACCCUAGGAGCCUUACAAGUAUAAAUAGACCCUUGGGGCAAGGGAAAUCGGCACCUCUGCUAAAGCAAAGAAACCCUGGCCGAUUUCUAUUCCCUCUCCUCUCUCUCAAAUCAUCCUCUUGCUAGUUGGUGUUUGUAAGCCAUUAGAGGAGUGACAUUUGUGACUCUAAAGCUCCAAGAACAAGAAGAUCAAACAAGUGUUUCAAGGUAAGCUUCUAACUCUGAUUUUGUAUUGUUCUUAUACUCAAUUAGCCAUUAGAAGUCUUGGAUUCAAUGCAUGUUUAAUUAGAGAAACCUAGAUCCAAGCAUUAGGGUUUGCAUGUGCACAUAGGAAUGUUCAUAUGGCCAAAACCCAUCAGUGGUAUCAGAGCCUAGAAUGAUUUCUAUUAAAUUGAUGCUUGAUUGUUUGUUUCUUACUUGCAAAAUUCGAAUUUUGUGUUUCUGUGUCAUGAACUCGACGAGUCCCAUGGUGGACUCAACGAGUUGGCCUGACUCGAUGAGUCCAGUUGGGAACUCGAUGAGUCCGAGCGUCAGGAAGGGGCAAAAUCGGGAUUUUUUUUAUAUUUAUCUUAUGGAAACUUGCCUUUAUCAUAUUAGAUCAACCCUAAUCCGAUUUUUUGAUAUAUAUGACUAUAAUCUUGAUCUAAUUAAAGAUAUUUAUCAAUUAAUAAAAUAUUUAAUUUCCUUAUGUGAUAAUUAAUUAAUUAUUUUGAUUAAAUUGGUAAAUUAUUUUGCAAGAAAUCAUUAAAUAAAUCAAAUAUGGAUAAUUAUGGAAUUAAUUGUUAAUUAAGAUUAUUUGUUAUUUGAUCCUCCAUGUUUUAAAUGUUUAAAACUUGCCCUCAAGUUUUGAAAUUUAUGUUUUGUGAUUAAAAGUUUNNNNNNNNNNNNNNNNNNNNNNNNNNNNNNNNNNNNNNNNNNNNNNNNNNNNNNNNNNNNNNNNNNNNNNNNNNNNNNNNNNNNNNNNNNNNNNNNNNNNNNNNNNNNNNNNNNNNNNNNNNNNNNNNNNNNNNNNNNNNNNNNNNNNNNNNNNNNNNNNNNNNNNNNNNNNNNNNNNNNNNNNNNNNNNNNNNNNNNNNNNNNNNNNNNNNNNNNNNNNNNNNNNNNNNNNNNNNNNNNNNNNNNNNNNNNNNNNNNNNNNNNNNNNNNNNNNNNNNNNNNNNNNNNNNNNNNNNNNNNNNNNNNNNNNNNNNNNNNNNNNNNNNNNNNNNNNNNNNNNNNNNNNNNNNNNNNNNNNNNNNNNNNNNNNNNNNNNAAAUGCUAGUCUUACCGUUAGUAGGCCUCAUUCACGAAGCCGAUCUAUAAGGUGGGUAUAAGGUUGCGGCCUAUAAAAUGGCGCUUAAUGGGUGUACACUCACACCCACCGCUUGCUUGAUCGGUGGAGGGUCGUUAGCCAAACGGAUAGGAUAGGGCAGCCUUAUCCUCUCAUUAAAAGUAUAAUAUAAAAUACAAAGUAACUACAUUGUUUUCAAAAAUUUCCCAAUCUUAGUUACUUUAGGAAAAGUGAAUUGAUGCAAUCCCAUGAAAUUACCGGCACACUAAUUGGUUCUAAGCAAAGGUGGCAAAGGGUGAUUCAUUGUUUAUCAUAGUUCGAUGGAGCGUGUGUGGUUUACCGGCAAAUCGAAUAGGUGAUCGUUACAAUGAAGGCACCAUGUGAAUUUGCAUGGUAAUUCACACCCGCUUUGUGAUCCUCGGUAUCCCAGUCACAAACAAGAGGGGCAUAUCGAGAUUUAAACAUGCCAUUGAAAAGUUUCAAUGAAUCUCAUCUAAACCUAGGAAUUCUCAAAUUCAUUUAGAACUUAAAGUUAGGUUUUCAUGGUGGAGAAUUAGUGAAUCGUCAUUCACUUACCUUCAAAUUGUUUGCAUGUUAGAUUACGGCAUCCCUUUUCUAAUAUGUAAAUAUUGUUGUUGGAUCCUAGCCCUAAUUUUUCUUAUUGGGUGAUAAUUAGGGAUUCAUAUUCUAAUCUAUCUUUGUCCUUUCUAUUUGUAGAUGUCGAAUGCAAACAACGCUGCUGCUAGUUCUUUCACAUUGAUGAGCCUUUGUCAAAAGGUCACUUUCGAUGGGACGAACUUUAGCGAAUGGAUAAGAUACAUUCGCACCAUUGCUCGCUAUGAGGAUAAGGAGUAUGUCCUCGAUGAGAAGCUCGAGAAAAUCAACCCUGAAAUCGCUACUCCGGCUGAAAUGACCGCUUUUGAAACUCACGAGCGUGAUGCAACGAAGGUACAUUGCAUCAUGAUAGCCACUAUGAACUCCGAAUUCCAAAAGUCCUAUGAGGACAUGUACCCGUACGAGAUGCACCAAGACUUAUUGGAGAGAUACCACCAAAAUGCGAGACAAGAGCGUUAUGAGAUUUUCACUAACAUGAUUUCCGCUAAGAUGGGUCAUGGAGAGUCUCUUACCGUGCACCUGCAAAAGAUGCAAAGGUAUGUCGACCGUCUUCGCAAGUUGAAUGUUGACUUUGGGGAAGACUUGGCGAUCGACAUGGUGCUUCACUCUUUGCCUCCAAGCUACAAUCAAUUUAGGAUGACCUACCACAUGAACAAAGAGGAGGUCACCCUAAGCAAACUCCAAGGUCUCUUGAGGGUCGCUGAGAGCAACUUCAAGGACAAGUCUGUUGCACCAACUCCCAAUCCACCCGCUGCUCCUGUCUUGGCUAUUGGACAAGGAAAGGGAAAGAAGAGGAAGGCUUCGUCUAAGAACUAUCGCAAGGUUAAAGCCCGAGAUGGUGCCUCUUCUAGUGGGACCAAAGUUGAUCCUGCUAAGCCCUGCCCUAACCCAAAGGAGGCAGAGUGCCACCACUGCCACAAGAUAGGACAUUGGAAGAGAAGCUGCCCAGAGUACCUGCAAGCCAUCAAGGAAGGAAAGAUCAAGCCGUCUUUCGCAGGUAUAUACACAAUUAAAUCUAACGAUUCAUCUCAUGCUAUUUCUUGGGUUCUUGAUACCGGUUGUGGUUACCACAUUUGUUCUAAUGUGCAGGGACUAAGAAGAAAUAGGGAUGUGGAGCAUGGAAGAAUAAAUCUAAUCAUGGGGAACAGAAGAUCGUCGCCUGUGACCAAGAUUGGAGUGUAUUCUUUAGUGCUUAGGAAUGGUUUAUGUUUAGAUUUGAACAAUUGUUGCUAUUCGCCAGAAAUGGCUAGAAACAUCAUUUCAUUUCAUGGUUUGUUUAGACAAGGUUUUAGAUUUUCUUUUAAUAAUGAGAAUGGUUCUAUUUUGGCUUAUCUAAAUGGUGUCUUUUAUUUUGAAGCUAUACCAUGUAAUGGAAUUUAUGAAACUGUUAUGAUUGUUGAUAACUUAGGAAAUGAUGUUUUGAACAUAGAUUCUUCCAAUAGUAUGGAUAAAGCAUCCUUGUGGCAUUGUCGUCUUGGACAUGUCAACAAGAAACGCAUAGCCCAACUCCAAAAGGAUGGAGUGUUGGAGUCAUUCGACCUUAGGGAAGAUGACACAUGCGAGUCUUGUUUGCUUGGAAAGAUGACUAAGUCACCCUUCACGAGUACAUGUGAAAGGGGUGAGGGUCUAUUGGACCUAAUACAUACCGAUGUAUGUGGACCGUUUAGAUCAACCACGAAGGAUGGGAACCGCUUCUACGUGACUUUUACCGAUGACUAUAGUAGAUAUGGGUAUAUCUACUUAAUCAAGCAAAAGUAAGAAACUUUUGAAAAGUUCAAAGAGUUCAAGAAUGAAGUGGAGAAUCAAUUGGCUAGGAAAAUCAAGAUGUUUCGAUCCGAUCGAGGAGGAGAGGACCUAAGUCUUCAAUUCCACGAUUAUCUAGGAGUGUGGNCCUCCUAGGACACCGCAGUUGAAUGGUGUGGCAGAAAGGCGUAAUCGAACCUUAUUGGAUAUGGUUCGCUCUAUGAUGAGCCGUGCCUUACUAUCAAUCUCUUUUUGGGGGUAUGCCUUAGAGACUGCCGCCCAUAUCCUUAACCGAUUCCCUACUAAGAAGGUUGCCAAAACACCUCACGAGAUGUGGACAGGGAAAGCUCCCUCGUUGGCACAUAUCAAGGUUUGGGGUUGCGAGGCUUUCGUAAGACGAGAUACUCACGACAAGCUCGAACCUCGAAGUGAGCGAUGUAUUUUCAUCGGCUACCCGCAGAAAUCCUUUGGAUAUCUCUUCUAUAGACCGAAGGACAAUGUUGUCUUUGUUGCGAGGAGAGGAGUUUUCCGAGAGCGAGAACUCAUAGGCCAAGGAGACAGUGGGAGGCAAAUCGAGCUUGAAGAGAUUCAAGAGUCGAUAUGUGAAGGAACCUAUACUGCUGGCACUCAACCCGAGGAGGAAACUCUAGUUGAACCAAUUGACGAAUCCUUACCUCUUAGUCGUUCCAAAAGAGUUAGGGUUCAAUCCUAGUUUUAUGGUUUUCAUAUUAAUACCGAAGGGGACACGUAUAUCAGUGAUGGUACACUAUUAAACCUUGAUGAACCUAAUACCUAUAAGGAAUCCAUGGCAGGCCCGAAGUCUGCGAAAUGGAAAGAGGCAAUGGAUAGCGAGAUCCAAUCCAUGUAUGAUAACCAAGUUUGGAAUUUGGUUGAUAAUGUGCCCGGACGUAAGACCGUUGGGUGCAAAUGGAUCUUCAAGAAGAAGACCGACGUGGAUGGAAAUGUACACACAUAUAAAGCGCGAUUGGUUGCGAAGGGCUUUACUCAAACUCCCGGAGUUGACUAUGAUGAGACCUUCUCACCAGUUGCGAAGAUAAAAUCUAUUAGAGUGAUGCUAGCGAUUGCCACAUUUCAUGAUUAUGAGAUUUGGCAAAUGGAUGUCAAGACCGCUUUCCUUAAUGGGAAGUUGUUUGAGGAUGUUUAUAUGGCUCAGCCAGAGGGGUUUGUGGAUUCGAAGCAUCCGANUUGAGAAGUCCAUUUAUGGACUUAAGCAAGCGUCUCGCAGAUGGAAUCUUUGCUUCGAUGAGAAAGUCAAAGAGUUUGGAUUUGUACGAAGCGAAGAUGAAUCGUGUGUAUAUGUCAAAGCCAGUAGUUAGCUUUCUCGUUUUGUAUGUCGAUGACAUACUACUCAUAGGAAAUGACAUCCCGACUCUACAGGAGGUUAAGUCCUGGCUCGGGAAAUGCUUCGCUAUGAAGGACCUUGGAGAGGCUUCCUAUAUUUUGGGAAUAAGGAUAGUAAGAGAGAGAAGUAAGAGACUAAUAGGACUUAGUCAGAACACUUACUUAGAGAAGGUACUAAAACGUUUUAGUAUGGAAAACUCGAAGAAGGGAGAAUUACCGAUACAAAGUAAUGCCAAGUUGAGUAAGACUCAAAGUCCGAGUACCGAAGCUGAAAUAGCAGAAAUGAGCCGAGUACCAUACGCUUCCGCAGUUGGCUCAAUCAUGUAUGCUAUGAAUUGUACUCGCCCUGAUGUAGCCUUUGCUUUGAGCAUGGUUAGCAGAUAUCAAGGGAACCUUGGCAGAGCUCAUUCGAUUGCGGUAAAGAAUAUCCUUAAGUACCUUCGGAGGAUUAAGGAAUGGUUCUUAGUCCUCGGAGGGAGUGAUGACUUGAAGGUGCGAGGGUAUAGUGACGCCAGUUUUCAGACCGACAGGGACAGCUACCGUUCACAGUCGGGCUGGGUCUUUACCCUAAAUGGAGGAGCAGUGACUUCGAAAAGUUCCAAGCAGGAAACUGUAGCUGAUUCAACGUGCGAAUCAGAGUACAUUGCAGCGAGCGAAGCGUCGAAGGAGGCAAUAUGGUUGAAGAACUUCAUCGGUGAUCUUGGAGUUGUACCUGGCAUAAAGGAGCCCAUGGAGAUUUUCGGUGAUAAUGAAGGAGUGGUUGCCUUGACCAAGGAACCAAGGGAUCAUGGUAGAUCUCAACACAUCGACAGAAAAAUAUCACUUUAUUAGACAUCGUGUAGAAGAAGGACAACUCGUAGUGAAGAGGAUAUCAUCAGAGGAUAACCCAGCAGAUCCGCUUACGAAGGGACUAAGUAGGGUUAAGAACUUGGAGCAUGCUAGGAGUAUUGGGUUGAAGGAUGAUAUUAGCAUAGAUUAGAUAGUAGUAGAAAUGUGUAAUAGAUAAAUGUAAUUAACAUUUGAUGAUUAAAUAAAAGAGUAUUAUUUAUGAGUAAUGUUAUUGUCUUAUGUUAAUUGUUUAACUAUUGUUUCAUUUUGCAUGUUUUGACUUCGAGAAUAAUUGAGUUUAUUAAGAAUAAUCGAAUUAUUCGAAUUGUCCACAAUCG